RNAcentral lists this long non-coding RNA (46974 nucleotides) under Malus domestica (apple). RNAcentral's name for it is "long non-coding RNA (MDOM_LNC002252)". The record is from RNAcentral. Lineage: Eukaryota; Viridiplantae; Streptophyta; Magnoliopsida; Rosales; Rosaceae.
UUUGAUUCUGCUUUUUACUUUCUCUGCCGGUACAUAGUCUGUUGUGGUGUUUACUGUUAUGCUCUUACAUUUUGUAUACGUAUCUCGUUUGCAUGCGCUAUUGUUUACUGUGCUUGUUUAGAUCCUUUUUUUUCUACAAUAAUUGGGUAAUGAACUUGUCUGUUGGUCUGAUUGCAGCAUGCAUACCGAGAUGGCCGUUUAGAGGAAGUAGCACUGCGUCAUAUUGGAAAUGAAGAUGGUCAGACGGUGAUAGCUACAAAUAUUAGGUUUUACCCUGUACCUUUGAUCAUUUCCUCCAUUUAUUUUCCUUUUCAUACUAAAUCUGUGAUGUUUUCAGGUUGUCAGACUUUCUGUCUGAUCUGCACAUAAGGUGAACAGUGCCGUUUCAAUGUCCCAAUGUAAGUUUAUGCAGUUUGGAAUUUGGUUAUUUACUACUACUGUUGUCCAUAAAUGUGUUUGUCCAUUUAGGGCAGACCUCUAAUGUGAAGGGUUAAGUUGUCAAAUAACACAUACUAAGUUUUGCAUAGAACAGGAUGAUGUGUCAGUGAAGCGAUGCUAAUGUUUAUGAUAGGCGCACGCUCAUACCAUAUCGUACUGUAACUUAUGGGCAGUGGUAAACUAGACCGUGAACUUAGUCAAACUGAACGUUUAACUUGUUUGGUUGGAGGUCAUUAGAGUUGCACAUUCAUGAGUUUCCCUUCAUGAGGCUGGUAGACCAGUGUCCUUUUUCAGUAAAACAAUGCCGUAUGCUUCAGCUUUGCCUAAAUGUGCAGGAUAUUCUUUUUUCAUCAAGAACACAUCCGCAGCUCUCAUGCUGGUUUUUCAAAUGGAAAGUGGAAUGCUCCGGUGGUUUGCAAGGUGUGAUUUCUGUACUUUGAAUGUUUUUAAUGAUGGUAGAAGACUGUUUUCCAUCAAAAUUUCCCUUAAAUGAUGUAGGAAGUAUGUUUUAAUGUUUUUCUUUUUUGUUUCAUUUACAACUUAAAUACUGAACAUGGGGCUGAAAUCAGAAUCUUGUAUUAUCCAAUUUCUCUUGUUUUGGAACACCGAUCGUCAUUUCAGUCUCUCUUUGUUAGUUCCUGCCGCUGGUUAAUUUUACUCUGGAUUUUUUAAUUGUAAUUGUGCUUUCUUUUGGCAAGAUACAUAUCUAACUUUAUACGAUACUCGAUUCUUGAUGCAGAAUUGGUUGCUGGAUGGCUACAUCCAGUUGUGUGAGAGUCGACAUGCUUGGUUGCCGUGAACUACAUUUAACAGAAUUCUAAAUAAAGUUAUUAUUGAGUGCAUGAGUGUAUGUUCAGAAUUUUGACAAUUAUGCAAUGUGCCCGUCUGUGACUUGGAUGAGUGUCUUCAGAUCGGGACGAUAAGAUAGUCUGGAUAACCGCAAGUGUCAUCAAAUAUCAAACUGGUUGGGGGCUGUGUACAUACAUACACAAAUGGCUAGUUCUUUAAAGGGACUUUUAUAUCGCCGGCAGUAGACACUUUGAUAAAAUUAAAUGCCUUUUGGAUGAUGCCUUUGGGGUUAUUUGUCAUGUUUUUGUUCUUCUGAUCAAACAAGAAUGGUACUCAUUCAAGUAGAAGAUUCAACGAUGGAUGCCUGCAGGUAGGGUACUCCGGCAAUUUCCCAAUUUAUUGUUUGUUGUUUUAGCAUCAUUGCAUUCAGAAGGUUAUAUUGGUCUUAAUUUAUCAGGUUAUAUGAGUCCAGUUUGGAGUAAAUUUCCUUUGCGGUACAUGUCUUUUCACUUUUAGCAAUUUUGCUUAUGUAGUUUACUACUGCUGCAGUUGAGUGCCAAAUUGCGUAAUUCUUGUCAAUUUGUUUAGCGGAAUGAGCACGCCAAGGGCGCACAUUCUUGUAGUUCCUCGCGUGCUAAUUCCGCUGAUAAGAGGAAUAAUAGUUCGAAACUUUUUACAAUAGUUUAGGAGAGGUGAGAGUUUCAAAUCCGAAUGUACAGGUAGAAACUCAACAUCAUCUAUUAGAAUAUUAGACCAUAUAAAAGGAUGUUUUAGUAGUUUUAUUUUAUUAGCAUAAUUGGGUGGUUUUGGUAACAUUAUAUUUAUUAACUUACUUUUUCUCACCGGUUAUUUAGAAACCGUACCGUUAUUCUGAGUGAAGAUUGAUCCAAUUUUCUCUACAGCAAAAACUUAAAACAAUACAAUGUGGCAAGUGUCCUACUCUUCUAACAGAGAAUGUGAAGGAUUGAGCACGGAUUACAAGUCAUAAUAAUGCUAGAGAGAUCAUCCAUUUAAAUUAAAUUUUGCUUGAUGUGAUGGGUAAUUGUCACGCUCCGAUCCCAAGUAGCACGUAUCUUUGUACUUGCUGAACAAUCAUGCCUCACACCACCAAGAGAUGACAAAAAACAAACCAACGGUUCAACAACGUAGUAUUCUUUCCUCUGAUUACAUGGUUGCAUCUAAUUUAUGUGUUAAAUUGUUGAUGGGAUCAAGCCAUUCGUAGUUCAAUCUUGUUAAACUCCGACAUUUCUCAUUGUACUUCUAGCAGAAAACAUAGAGUUCCAUAAUCACUCAAUGAAACUUUAUGAGCAUGAUUCACUAGAUUUCAGACUACUUAGGCCAUCUCUAACUGAAGACUAGCCAAAGUGUUCGUUUUAGCUCUCUGGUCCUUCAAUAAAUUAAUAUUUUAAUGAACAGUGCAGAGUCAUAUUCUUACUAUCUCCAACCGAGGGCCAAAGGGUCAUAGGGAUCGUUUUAGCCCUGUCACAAGAAACCGUCUCCAACCAAGGGCCAAAUGGCUAUAGUAUGGACCGUGAAUAAUUGAAAUAAAAUGAGGUAAGAUAGUAUGAAAUAGUGAAAAUUAUAUGAGAAAUGGUAUAGGAAAAAAAUUAGAAAUUAAAAAACAAAAAAAAGGCUGCUGGGCAUAAAAACAAAAAGUGGCCUGGGAUCAUGAAAAAAAAAUUAAGUCCUAAACACUAAAGUGGGCUGGGUAAUGGAAAAGAGUAAAAGAAAAAUGGCUGGGCCAAUGGAAAAGAACAAAAAAAAAAAUAAAAAAUUGGGCUAGCCAGCAGGCUGGCUAAAAGUGGCCAGCCGGUUGGUCAUUUGGCCCUUUCAGAUUUCAUGGGGCCAACGAGCCCUCAGUUGGAGACGGUUUUCGGACGUUUUUCGGCAUUUUGGACCCUUCGGUUGAAGAUGACCUUAAUAAAUAUAACAGCUAGAAUUAUAAUUUUAUCUUUCACAUAUACCACAUUGUUUUCCAACAAUUCCACAAUCACAACAAAUAAUCAAUUUCAUGAAUCAAAGAUGCUCAAUUUCAACAUACACAGCCCUAACCGGAAAGGGAUCUCCGGAUCCCUUCCACCAAAUCCACCAAUCCGGGCCCUUGAAAUUUGAUUUAACGGCUAAAGUUAUUAUAACAUUUAAAAUGACUCAUGUUUUUAGCUAUUGGAUCAAAUUUCAAGGAUCUAGAUUAGUGGAUUUGGUGGAAGGGAGAGGAUCCCUUUCCGCCCUAACCAGUUUUAUAUUGACAUGAUAUGGUAUCACUGCCAAAAGGAAUAAUCAACCUCGCAUCCCUUCAAGAGAUCAGAAAUAGUGAUUGCUCUCCUCCCAAAAGGAAUAAUCAACCUCACAUCCCUUCAAAUGCCAACCUCCUUUCUUCAUUCAUCAUUCCUUUUGCUUUCGGUCGACAUUCAUUACCUGCAUUUUAUUUUUCUUUUCAGGUGAUCCCAUGCGGAUCGAAGCUUUCGUCCGCGCUUAGAACUCUUGUGAUCUCUGAUUGAGCAACACUAGUUCCACAGCGAAUGGUAUGCAUUCCAUUACCUACUGAUCCCGCUAACUUCACUUUUUUUCUUAAUUUCCUUUUAUUCAAUAAUGAAGUCUUUAUCUUUUUAUAAUUACAUGCUUGUGCACAUUCAUGUUCUUCCUUAUCAUCUUACUUACAUUAACAAUUUCGACCAAAAAAACAUACCUAAGUCAAUCAACUUAUGUUGAGAACGAAUCUUGAAUUGAUGGAAGAAGUCAAUCAACUUAUGUUGAGAACGAAUCUUGAAUUGAUGGAAGGAGGAACUUUGGAUGAGCUUAUAAGAAAGUUGGGCACCUCCUCAAUCCUCAUAUUGCCAAUUGGUUUUAUGGUGGAACAUCAACUUCCUUCACCUAAGUGAAUGAUCUAGCACAUUUUGUAUAAAUAGUGUGUCAUCUAGCACUUUUUGGAAGUAUGGUGUUGAGAUUCACAACAAUCUUCAAAACCUGUCUUUAAUUUUACGUCUAUUUUUCAACCUUUUCUAAUAAAUUCCCAUCUAACUCUCCCUACGUACUACGUACUAUGACAAUUUAGUUCUCUAGAUCAGUACUAUUGUAGCUACCAAGUAACCGGGCAGAUGACAGUUUGUUACUUCAUUCAAUACAAUUAUUAUAUGCACAACCUUUACAAUUCUUUUUAAUUUUCAAACUAUAAUAUGGCUUCAAAUUUUUUUCGUUUCUGUUUUGCUUCUCAGUUUAGUUUCAUGGAUAUGCAGUACCGAUUCAAAGAAGAAACAGAUGGGAUGAAGAAGGAAGCCAAGCCAAUAACCAUACAGCUUUUUCUUUACAGGUGACUCAUUUCUGUACAUGUGACAAGUAUAUUGUCACGAUGACUGAUAUUUAUGAACGAGAUUCAGAUUGCUCUGCAGGUUUUAAUCAUACGUCUUAUUUUGUUUUUCUCUGGUUUAUUGUAUUGAACGUCGAUUUUCUCAUCAUAUUGCUUGCUUUGUUGCUGUGUUUUAUUUUUCGUACCUUGUUACUUGCAUUCAUAUCACUAGAAAGAGCUCUAAAUUGGGUUUUGAACGUGCAGUGUAGUGGGAUAGCCGCGUAUGUGAUACACACUGUUUGUUGUUGAGCUUCAACAGCGGAUCAAAUGUCUCAGUGCUGCAUGGAAGCAUGAGAGGACGUGUUUAUAUCUUGAGCUCGGGAUCACAUCUCAGUGAUUCCAUGAUCUAUUCUUGAAAUUUCGGCCGAGACAAAUAUGAAAGAUUGCAAGACUGCAGAAGUGUGGUAAGUAAGAAGUGGAUUAGAGCGGGAAGAAAAACGUUUUCCUGCCCUCGAGCCGACAUGGAGGUGUUCACUUACCGUUCAUUUGAAAGUUCUGUAUGUCUGAUCGUGUGCCGUCUGCUCCGACAUGAAGCAAAAACGUUUACAGUUGAUCAGUUGCUUAGUGGAAUUCGCUUGCAAGUUUGUGAGGUGAAUUCUUGGGGUAUGGGUUUUAUGUUAAACUCAAUUGAUGAGCUUUGCAUUCUCAGAGCGCUUGGAUGCAUGGAAGGCCUUCAAGGGCGCCUUGAGUUCAUGAGGUUCUUUGAAUUUCUCACUGUGGCCGCCCAGUGCAAACAGUGCACCUGUCCGGUACCCAAAUUGUUAUGGGGCACUUCUACCUUAGCGAAUCGCGAUAGCGUGGACCAGAGUCUUUCUUUCAGACCAGUGCCCUUCCGUCGCAGCUUUCCUUAUCGGCCUCUUGACCUCCGAAAUUGCCGCAGAAAUCGCCCAAAACUCGACUGAAUUUUACAGAAUCGGUGGCAUCGUUCACCGCUGCAUUCCCUCUAUGCGCAGCUCAUUAAGCCUUCUCGAUACUCUUGGUCCGGGCACACGGUGAGUACUAUACUAAUAUUUCACCAAAACUUGCCCAUUUAUAUGUUUAAUUGUUAAAUUUGUGAUUAAAGUGAGUAACUUUGAGAUACCCAGAUUGUUUCAUUCACUGCUGCUUGUUUUCCAGAUUCAGACGAAAGAUGGGUACUUAAUGGGUUUGAGAUAUGAAGGACUAUGUCGUGUUUGUUAGUGCAAUUUCUGUUUGGUUUGAGACGUGAACGGGCUAAUGAGAUUGCUUUGGUGGGGGCUGAUCUGCGAGUAAAAUAUUGAUUCUCUGGACACUUGGUUAGUGAAAAGCCUAACUUUUAUAGCUCCUUCCAAUUUUUUCAACAUAUUGGUCCCAAUAAGUUUAUUAUUUCAAAAUUUGAACGUAUAGCUCACUAUUUGGUGCUCCCUCAUCUGAAGUUUUCAGGUUCUGUUGAAAUUUCCUUUUCUUGAAACUAACUAGUGGGUAAAGUGAUGAACAUCCAUGCGAUACAUGUUAAAUUAGGCUCUAAUAUGCUUCAAACUCAAUUGAACUUGGUAACUGGAUUUUCUUGAUCUUAACUAGGUGAUGCAUGAUUCUUAAAUUCUCCAGCAGAAUCGCUGGGAUUCGUCCUUGCAGAUGAAGGUUUCGUUGUAUGGGUAGGGAAUGUGUGUGGAACACGUUGAAGUCAUGGACACAUAUGUUUAUCAGAAGAGAAUAAGGUUUAUGCUUUAUUGUAGGAUUAUUGGGAUUGGAGUUCGCAGGAAUUGGCUCUAUUUGUAUUGUCAGAAAUAUGUGCUGCAUAUAUUCGACAACAAGCUCCAAAGUCUUUGUUGUUGGACAUUCACGGGUCUUACACCUCUUCAUCCUCUUCAUAUCUCCUUCCCUUGCUGCUAUGGUGUUUACUCAAUUUAUCCACGUUAUUAGGGAACAAUCAUGCCUUUAGCUGCUCUCACCUAGCCGGAUAUAGCAGAACUGGUUGAAGCUGCCGCUCUUUUCUGUCCAAUAUCAUACUUGGAGCAUAUCACUUCUAAAUUUGCACUUAGAAUGGUCAUCAUAUAUAAUGAUCAGGUAUUCCUUAUCUUCUUCAAAGUAUAGCGAAUGAAUAGCUUCUGUAAUAAAAUUGAUGCAUAUGUUCAUCUUUUUAGAUGAUUCUUUUUACUCAGUGUUAGAUUUUAUUAGUAGUAAUCUUGUUAUUUUCUGUAGAUUAUAUCCAGUGAAUGGGGCGUCAACUUUUUGGAUUCAAUAUGUGGUGGCCAUGUUGACUACUUGGACUAGUUGUAUAUGAUUUUGCUUUUCGUCGUCAGGGUUUAAAUACUAUGUUCCCCGUUGUAUGUUCUCUUUAAGUAAUAUAAUAUGGGCAUAAGGGUCUAACCCCCCAGCUUUGACUAGGUUUCAGCCCUCUUUAAAUUUCUUUUUAAUAUAUGGUAUAUCAAAAAAAUGCACAUUUUGACCCCGAGCACCAAAAAACUCAUGACCAACCCUGCACCCAACACGUCUCUACUCUCAUUGAGUGAAAUGCCUUUCACACCAUCAAUUCCAAUCUCCUCUAUCCUUUUAGGCCCCCCCCAUCCAAAAUCUGUUUCAUAAAGAUCCACCUUCGGCGACCCAAGAACCACUGCUCGGACCAGAGAAUCUCCUCCUGCCUCGAAAUCCACUUCUCUGCAUCUCCCAAAAUUGCCUUGUCUAACUUGUUAAUAGUGUUUCCGAUUGUUUUUACUGCAACAAGUUUGUCCAAUUACGUGAAGAUAUGCUACAAGUUAUUGCAUCUUUCUUGGAAGAGCACUUCUGGAUCACUAAGAACCAAUCCACUGUUUCUCGAUCCUCAGCUGAAGUGGAGUAUCGUGCCAUGGCCUCCAUCACAUGUGAAUUCAGUGGAUGAAAUAUUUACUAGAUGACUUAAGAGUUGACCAGGGAGUUUCUAUUGUUAUAAUCAAGUUGCAGUUUACAUAGCUGCAAAUCAUGUAGUUCGUGAGUGUACCAAACACAUCGAGAUUAACUGUCACAUUGUUCGCGAAGGAAUGCAAGCUGGUAUUAUCAAAACAGCCUAUGUCCCAUCUUGAAGUUCACUAAUAUACUCAGCAAACCCCUUGGACAUGAGAUUUGUCGUUUUCCAAUUGGCAAGCUUGGUGUUCUUACAUCCACGCUUUAGCUUGAGGGGGAAUAUUGUCGGAUUGAAUCGCAUAUACAUUUACAUUUUUUUCCUCAUUGCACAUGACUUACAUGUCACCGGUGUCAGUGUCGGAUAAUGUCACCGCCAUUGGUGCUAGAAAUUUUUUCCAGUCGCCCAAAAAUUUAUAGUCCUUGUUCAACAAUGACACAAAAAAUAACAAUUGGUGCAACUUUUUCUUCUUGAAUUAUGUUUUGCUGUGUGCGUUUAUUGGUUUUCCACACUAUACAAAAUAAAAUUAGAGAACUUAGAAAAUUCAUCAAUUAACAUAACUCGCUUUUGGAAGUGACAUUUGAAGAAAAAUUGGUGCCGAUCACUGAAAUAUUUGAUAGCUAGUCACAAGAAAACAUUGACCGGUCAGAAAAUGUGGUAACAUUAAAAGUGACAACCAUGUAAUUAUUUUAAUUUAUAAUAGUGUUUAUAUAUAAAAAGUUGUCGACUUUUCCAUUAAUACCUAAAAUGUCACCAAUACAGUAAUUCUCUUGGCAUUGUUUUUCUAUACCGUUUUGGAUACAUUACCAACUCUGCAACAAAACGCGCUCCGUACGUGCACCCAACUCGCAUUUUCUAUAAACCCUUCCGCACGUUAAUUGUCAACUUCCGAAACAAAAACAGUAUGUAGCCUUCCCAAUAUACUAUGAAUUGACCCAAAAUUAAAAUAAAAAAAUGGCCAAAAAUGGAAAAGAAUACCUGUCCUUUGUAAUAUUCCAAAGGACAAUCACGAACGGUCUCCUAUAUAUAGUUGAUAAAUUCCUCAAUCCCACCAAACUCCUCAGCCUCAACUCUCAAAUAUUCCACUACGUUUUUGCUCAUCACAGCCUAAAAAAGACCGGAAGGCCACCAUGGAAAUGAAGAAGAUUGCUUGUGCUGUCCUCUUCGCAGCCGCCUCUGUCAGCUCUGUGAUGGCUCAUGCAGGCCACGCCCACGCGCCCGCCCCGGGACCAGGAGCAGCCCCAAGUGAUGCCUCUGCCAGCCUCCCCGUCCUAGGGUCCGUGGUUGGUGCAUCCGUUGUGUCAUUCAUUGCUUACUACAUGCAUUAAAAUAAUAAAGAAGACAUGACAACCGAGAGAGAUUCAACUGAGUAAUUCAAAAGAAGGGGAAUGAGAUUGAUGUUUUCUUUAGUUCCUGAAUAGAGGGUCUGUCUUGGUUCUCAUUCUUUCAAAUUUAUGUGAACCAUUUGUUUUAAUAAUAACGUAAUAAAAUAGCGUUUUCCUAAUCUUCAGACGAUAUUGUUGGUUACCUAGUGAAAAUUUGUUUACUGUUGUACUUUUUAACUUUUAACUUUCUCUUGCAAGGUGCAAAGUGAUACAUUUGUAUGAGAAAUAAACUGCCAAAAAAGAAAAUAAUGUAUGCAGAAAUCAUUUCUUUGUAGAAAUCAAGCUCAAAAUUUUCAAUUAACGUCCAAAUAUUUCAAUUUUGAUCUUUUUUUCUUAAUACAUAUAUAGAAAAAAUCCUGAAAUUAAGAUAAUUAAAGAAGGAAAUUAACUAUAAUAUAUUGUCGCGUUGAUCUGUUACCGCGUUCUGUUGAGAAGUCAAGGAUAUGUUACCCUAUAUUUAUAAUAUUUCUCCAUUAAUUCAAGCCAUUUUCUUGUUUUGCUUUUCAUCAUGGAAUAGGAUUUGAAACUUGGUCCUCCCAUGCAUCUGUUACAAUUUCUCUGUUAUUCCCAUAUUUUCUGAUGGAGAGCUGCUAGACUCACCUCAAUAUCUUUUUUUUCAUUUACAUUAUAAAUUUACUCUUUAUAAAAAGUUAUAAAUUGAAACGCUAUUAUUAUCCACUAUUAUUUCUAAAAUAAUUGCUAAUAUGUUAUUUCUCUACCCACUAAUAUUUCUAAAAAUAACUAAAUUAUAUUUCCUCAACAACAAAGUCUCCUUCCAUGAUAAUCUACCAAUAAAUGAAUAACUUGUAAAUGCUCCGGUGUGUGAUUAUGCACUCCAAUAACUACCAUCAAUAUUCAAUCAUCAUCAAUUGCUAGCUUCUUAACCUUUAGUUGAAAAGAGCAUCCACACCUUUCUUUCCAAAAUUCGUUUUAUCCUUUAUUGUUCUUUCACAGUCAAAGUAAUUAUUCGGCUCCUGUUACCUUUUCACACUCAAUCUAUUAUUAUUAUUAUUAUUAUUAUUAUAUAUCUAUUAAGAUAUUUAUUGGUCAUUUUACAAACGGAAAAUUAGAAGGCCCUACAUAUUUUCUAUAGUUGUUAGAUUAAACAUUCAUCCCUUUUAAAGAUUUGAUUAAGGUGCUUCAAUCAAUUGCCACCUCAAUAAUUUUCUAUUUAUUUAUUUUCCAUGUCAUUAAUUUAAAUGCAUUUAUAUAGAGGUAUAAGGUAGCUUAGCAACUAAUUGUCUAUAAUAUAGGAAUUUAAUUUCCUCAAUCCCCUUCUUCGCAUUAAAUGACAUUUUUUUUAAUAAAAUAAAAUAAAAUUUUAAUUAACUAAUUCCUCAUUUCCUUAUUAUUAGUAUUUAAAGAAAAUACUCUUUCUAUUAAAAUUGUACCAAUAAAAAAUCUUUAAUACAUAUUUUUUCAUAUAUAGAUAUAUAAAAAAAUAUACUUAAAAACUUAUGGUACAUUUGAGAACAAAAGUAUCGACUUUUGGUACGUUUAGAUUUCAAAUGUACCGAGAAACCAAAUGUACCAAAAAUUCAAAUGUACCAUAAAACCAAAUGUACCCAUUGUUAUGUAACCUUUUUGGUACGUUUAUAUUUCAAAUAUACAGAGAAACCAAAUGUACCAAAAUUUCAAAUGUACCAUAAAACCAAAUGUGCCCAUUGUCAAGUAAUCAUGUUGGUACGUUUAGAUUCCCAUUGUACCAAAAGACCAAAUGAACAAAAAAUCUCAAAUGUACCACAAAACCAAACGUCUCUAUCAGAUAACCCUUUUGGUACAUUUACAUUCCAAAUGUACCAAGAAAUACAAAAAAUCAAAUCCACUAUAAAACUAAAUGUGUCCAUAUUAUAGGUAACUAGACGUAGCUAUAUUAUCAAACAAAUCUUUACUAUGUGUUGGGUCUUCUAAAUAAUAAAUUUGACAAUUUUUUUUUAUAAAUAUUCUACUAUAUUCACACAAAAAAAGUAAAUAUUAUAACAAACAAUAAAAAAAAUGCAUGGAGAUGGAUAAUAAAUGCAUAAAUACAGGGAUAAUAGGAAAAGAAAAAAAAAGAAAACGAAAUGCCCAAGAGAUGGAUAAUAAAUGCAUAAAUAUAGGGAUAAUCGAGAUAAUAGGAACUGAAAUUAAUAACCAAAAUUUUAGGAAAAUGUUUGAUCAAAUUUUCAAAAGGAGUGUAUGUUUAGUCUAAAAAAUUAAAAAACGAGGCGCCUAUAUCAAAAUGCCUCUUUUACAAAUGGACAAACUUAUAAAUAAAAAUUUCAUGAAAAAGUGGGUGGAGAGGUAAGACACUGUGAAUGAGAAUAAAGCCUCUUUUAAUAUUAUAUGAAUGUUCUGCCAUAUGGUUCUAUUUACUAAUAUUUUUCUCAUUUAUAAGUAAGAGAUUAUAUGUUUGAUAAUCGUGUCCAUUAUAUGGUUUAACCUAAAUCUUCUACACAAUGUAAACAUAUAGAUAUUUUCAGAAAAAUAACUUUUUUUUAUAGAGAUGAUGUUUUACUAGAAUCUUAAGAAAUAAACGGUUUGAUCAUCAAAAUAUCCAUCCACAUAUGGGAAAAUUCGUUCUUGGGCCAUGGCGAUAGACCUAAAAUUUUUGUUAGCUGUUGUACUCUAACUUCUUGUGCUCAAGUAAUUGAAAGAACCACGUACGCCAUUAGACAAUGAUGCAGGCAGCGUGUGGAUUGUGGAGAUGUGGUGAGCUUUAUCUCUGAAAUAUAUAUUAUAUUGCAGGCCUUAUGUAAGUUUUUCUCUCUUAAUAUGUAUAUAUAGGAAUGGAUAGUGUCAUUUACACUCAUUUUUACUUUUCACAUAUUUUUCUUAAAUUUUGAUUGUUAGAUAAAAUAAAUUGAGAAUAAUGACAAAAUUAAUAAAAGUGUGUAAACAGUAAAAAAUGAGGUGUGAAUGGUAUUAUCCAAUAUAUAUUGCAGACUAAAGGCCUCGAUCGUUGUGAAAACCAGGUCACGGGAGGGAAUUUCCCUUUUCAUGGUAUCAUCAAUUUCAUGCGCAAAACUUAAUUAUAUACGUGGCAUGAGUUGGCAUCUGCAUGAAUCGCAAGCUGCUUCCAUAUGGACCAAAUUCCAGUCCAUGUGUCUACCAUGCAUUGGAACUCUAAAAUUGCACUCAACCUCAACGCACCAUUCUGCAUAAACCCUAGUUACCUAGCUUCUCACAUAUAUAGCAGUUUGGGCCUCUGAAUUAGAUAUAGCUAAUGGCUUCUACUAAGGCAUUCUUGGUCGCAGUAGCUCUUAUUAUGUUUCUUGCUAUGAAUUAUAUCGCAGCCUCAGCCUUUGGGGAUGGGAUUGCUCCGGCGCCGGCCAUGGCCACCGGAUCAGCUUCUGCUUCUUCUGCUUCGGUCGCUUUGCCAGGGUUCUCUUUUGUCUAUAUUUUUUGUGUUGUUUUAAAUGUAAUAUAACUAGUACUUGUAGGUUCUAAAUUAAUAAUCAUUUCAAGUCUUCAAGACGAUGUAUUCUCCUAGCUUUCUACCCGAUAUAUAAUUGCACUUGCUGUUUUAUACACCCUAUUCAUAUUAAUAUUUCUACUCUAGUUAUCUGUAUAAUAUUGUGCGUGUCUUUUGUCUGGAUAGGUAAUGUUCGCACGAGGUCUUGUGUCUAAAUAAAAUAAAUUAAUUUAUAAUCAUGUAACUGCGGAGAGAUUUUUCAUGUAUAUGUGUCAUGAACACCGCAUCUUAUUAUACAAGAAAAGCUUUUUAAUGUUCAUCUCUAAUUGUAUAAUAACAUGUAGUGUUUCACUCCGUAUUAUGGAAACACUGAAAAAUCUCUCGUUAUUACGGUACUGAGUGGGAACUUGCUCAAUGUGUGCUAUUUUCAUGCCAUACCUUUAAUGACAAACGGUCUGUAGCAUCUUUUAGUGCAGAGGGAGAUGAAGAUUGAACGCAAAGUAACAAGAAGGUGAAUUAAUCUGGAUCGCGAAUAUAUGAAUUAGAAUGCAAAUGGAAAUGAUAGUAAUUAUAAACUUAAACAACACCUGAACCAAUGGGAGUUUGAAAUCGAUGCCGAGUGCAGUCUUGGCAGAGCUAAAAUUAACAGCAACUUCAGCAACAUGCGUUUUCGGACUUGGAUUUGAGUGAGGGCAUUGGGUAUGAAGUUGGAUGUAUAUGAAAUUUGUGUGAAAAAUUAUUUGGGGUUGAUCAUGGAUAUCUUCCUCCUUCAUCAGAAAACUUUGUCAUUUGAUUUUGGAUGAACUACAAUUGGUAUGAUGAUGCCACUUUUAUUUGCCAAAAUUGUUCACCUGCUUUCUUUUGUCCAAAGUGUUAGAGUAUGAGUGCGAUUCUUACAGUUUAGUAAUAAUCAUUGUUAUUUUAGAUUGGUAUAAAGAGGUCUUGAUGUGUUUAUAAGAGUUAAUUCAACUUUGGUUUGGAUUGAAACUCUACUAUUGGCUCGAGAAUAGAACUCAUACUUAUACAAGGAUUUGGUCUUGUAUUCCUUGUAGGAUUGUAAUAGGGCAAUCUAUGUUUAGUAUAAAAACAUAAGCCACUGCUCUCACAAAACAUAUGCUCAAUAUUGAACUAAGACCUAUUGUUAGUUUGAGUACUUUUGGUUUUGCAAGAGAGGAGAAGGUGCACUGUUUAGAAGUCUACUUUGGCUUCUUCUGCUGCUGCUUUUACGGGUUAGUUUGUCAUUGUGUUUAUCAAAUUGUGAUUUUAAUACUUAUAUAAAUUUGUGGUUUAUGAGCUUAAUCUCUUAACUUAUAUUUUGAUAAGUUUAAUCUUACAUGUGGUAUCAGAGCCUAAGAUUUUUGCUCUUGAAUUCAUAUUGAAAGUAUUAAAUUAAAAGAGCAAAAUACGUGACGGUAAAUUAGCAGGGUUCAGGCUUAGUUUGUGAGAAAUUUUGGACUUUAAAUUGAGUGCCGGCUGUAUUAGAUUAAUCUUUUCUUCCCGCACAAGUUACACAUUAUAACAAUCCAACAAUCAAACUUGAACUUAACAAUCUCAUCAACGGGAGUUACACACUCAUCUCGUAAGCGCAGCGAACAACACUCCGACUGACAAGCCAGCAAUGCACAAGAAUGAAACGCCGCGAACACGAACGAAGAAGACAUUCAAAUUCUUACCAACCUGAAGGGUGAGAGUCAGAAUCUGCAGCCUGCCUUGCUCCUCCAUCUUCUUAAAGAAGUAGAUUGACUUCAAACUCUGCCUCAACAUGAACGCCAGCGUAAAGGGUAACCCGAAAGCCAAAAUGCUCUGAACUGAAACCUCCGGCAUUGGGGUCGAUAUGGUAAUGUACGAAAUCCAAGCUCCGACGCCGAGUUGAGCCAAACCCAGAAGAGCCAAUGCCCUGCUCAGACUAUACAUGUUUUUGGCCAUCGAUUCCAGAACUUCUCUGGUCUCAUUGGCCAAAGUCGAAAGGUCUCGCUCCACCGUCGGUCCUUCGAUUUCUUGGUGCUUGAAGUUAGGGUUUUGACUAGGGUAUUCAUUUGGGUUUUGGGGCUUUUCAGAUUCUGGGUUUUGGGAUUUUUCAGAUUCUGGAUCCGGUGACGGUGAACUAGAAGAAGUUGAAAAAAAUCUGGGUUUUUGAUCUGAUGACCCAUUAAACCUAGGAUUGUACAAAUUGGUACUGAACCUUGAACACGAUUGUGUAAAAGUAAGACCAAGAUUGGUUUUUUUGAAUUCAGGGUUUUGAGUAAUGGAUUUUGAAUUGAGUACCCAAGUUAGAUUAUGGUUUAUGGGUUUUGGAUUUGAUGAUUUUAUGUAAUGAUCGAUAAUGGUGGUGGGGUUUGAUGAAGAUUUGAAAGGAUUUGGGGAGAGAGUGGAAUAGGAGGAGUGAGUGAAGUGGUCUGGGAUUUUAGGGUUUUGGAGGUUUUGGGCGGCGAGGUAGGUGGAGGAUGCAGACAAGGAUGAAUGAUGAUGAUGAUAGAGUCGUGAAAGCUUGGAGCUGAAUCUGCGUGUGAUCAUGGCGGCCAUUUUUGUUGAACCAGAAACUGAAGAGGGAGGGAGAGAGGGAGGGAGAGAGGGAGCGAUUUUUCCUUCUAGGCGGGCGUUUACCUACCUCUCCUGCGCAUAUAUAGGCGCGGGCCUCGGGCACGAGCCGAAAUGUAGAGGUUUGGCCCAAAAUAAAUUUCAAUCGGACCACGGUUUAAACCCAGCAAAGGAUUAUCAGAUUGUUGGGGAACAUUGCUUGUUGCAUUAAUUUGAUUUAAGAAAACACGCUUGUUGGUGAUGGAUGUACAUAUCAAAAGAGUAAGACAAAAGAACAAGACUUGGAAGUGCCCAAGAACUAGAUGGUGGAACCAAUUGGUUCCUGAUUCCUCACCAAUUGCAUAAUCUCUGUUUAGUCAUAUACACCUAAACCAUUAUGCAAAUAGUCUAUGUAUCAAAAGAUAGUCACAAUCCAUUCGGAAAAACUUAUCUCACAUAAACCCAAAAUCACUAGUUUCAACAAUGAUCAAAAUCAGAAUAGCAAGCACAAUAUUUUUGCAUUCAAUUUGAUCCUAACUAGUUCAAUAUCUAGUUCAAUAUCCAUCGAGCAAGAUCGACCAAAUUUUGAUAAUGUCUAGAUAUAUAUCACAACAACAUGUCUUGAUUAAAACGAGAUAAUCAAGACCACUAUUUGUUCUGGAGAACUCAAAGUUCAUCUUCCUCCCUAUUUGUGAUUUCAGGGGAAGCAAAGUUAUACCAGGAGAGAGCGUGGCUAAUCAACAUCGCUUGUUGGUGAUGGAUGUACAUAUCAAAAGAGUAAGACAAAAGAACAAGACUUGGAAGUGCCCAAGAACUAGAUGGUGGAAUCUAAAAGAAGAAAAACAAGCCAUUUUCAAAGAGAAGGUAAUCACCCAAUGUGUGUGGGAUAGAGAGGGGGAAGCUAGCCAAAUGUGGGAUUCCAUGGCUAGUUGUAUUCGAAAAGUAGCAAAAGAGGUAUUAGGAGAGUCCAAGGGCUUUGCCCCACACCAAAAGGAAUCUUGGUGGUGGAAUGAGGAGGUACAAACAAAGGUGAAGGCUAAGAAGGAAUGUUGUAAAGCCUUAUACAAGGAGAGGACCGAUGAAAAUGGUGAAAGGUAUAGAAAAGCGAAGCAAGAGGCGAAGAAAGCUGUCAGAGAAGCUAAGUUAGCGGCUUACGACGAUAUGUAUAAACGACUAGAUACCAAAGAAGGAGAGUUGAAUAUCUAUAAACUAGCUAGAGCAAGGGAAAAGAAGACAAGGGACCUAAACCAAGUGAGGUGCAUCAAGGAUGAGGAUGGAAAGGUUCUUGCUACACAGAGAACGCGGUUAAAGACAGAUGGAGAGGUUAUUUUCAUAAUCUUUUCAAUGAAGGACAUGAAAGGAGUGCUUCUUUAGGGGAGUUGAGUAACUCAGAAGAGUGUAGAAACUACUCCUUUUAUCGUCGAAUCCGGAAGGAAGAAGUGGUUGUAGCUUUGAAAGAAGAUGAAGCAUAGAAAAGCAAUAGGCCCAGACGAUAUACCAAUCGAAGUGUGGAAAGUUUUGGGAGAGACAGGUAUAACAUGGCUCACUGACCUUUUCAAUAGGAUUUUGAAAAACGAAGAAGAUGCCAAAUGAGUGGCGAACGAGCACUUUGGUGCCUAUCUACAAGAAUAAGGGCGACGUACAAAAUUGCAUGAACUAUAGGGGUAUUAAGCUAAUGAGUCAUACAAUGAAGCUCUGGGAGAGAGUCAUUGAGCAUAGAUUGAGGCAAGAGACACGGGUUUCGGACAACCAAUUCGGGUUCAUGCCAGGGCGCUCAACCAUGGAGGCAAUCUAUCUCUUACGAAGAUUGAUGGAAAGAUAUAGAGAUGGGAAAAAGGAUUUACACAUGGUCUUUAUAGAUUUGGAAAAAGCGUAUGAUAGGGUCCCAAGAGACAUUCUUUGGAGGAUUUUAGAGAAGAAAGGAGUACGAGUAGCAUAUAUCCAAGCUAUAAAAGGAUAUGUAUGAAGGAGCAAAGACUGCCGUAAGAACUCAUGAAUGACAAACCGAAAGCUUUCCCAUAACUGUAGGAUUACAUCAAGGCUCAUCCUUAAGUCCUUACCUUUUUGCGUUGGUAAUGGAUGAGUUAACAGGACAUAUUCAAGAUGAUAUUCCUUGGUGUAUGCUUUUCGCAGACGAUAUAGUGUUGAUAGAUGAAACUCAGGAAGGGGUAAAUGCAAAGCUUAACCUUUGGAGAGAAGUGUUGGAAUCUAAAGGUCUUCGCCUAAGCCGAUCAAAGACAGAAUAUAUGGAGUGCAAGUUCAGUGCAAAUGGAGGCCAAAACGAGUUAGGGGUGAGGAUCGGAGAUCAAGAAAUACCAAAGAGCGACCGUUUUCGUUACCUAGGAUCUAUCUUGCAAAAGAACGGAGAAUUAGAUGGAGAUCUCAACCAUAGAAUACAAGCUGGAUGGAUGAAGUGGAAGAGUGCAUCCGGCGUGUUGUGUGACCGCCGUAUGCCCACUGAAGCUCAAGGGAAAAUUUUAUAGGACGGCAAUAAGGCCGGCGAUGCUGUAUGGCACAGAAUGUUGGGCGGUGAAACAUCAACACGUACACAAAAUGGGUGUAGCGGAGAUGAGGAUGCUUCGUUGGAUGUGUGGGCACACGAGAAAGGAUAAGAUUAGGAAUGAGGAUAUCCGGGGUAAAGUAGGAGUAGCCGAAAAUUGAAGGAAAGAUGAGAGAAAAUCGGUUACGGUGGUUUGGACAUGUGCAAAGAAGGCCUACUGACGCUCCGAUUAGAAGAUGCGACUAUGGGACAGAGGUUCAGGGCCGAAGGGGUAGAGGAAGACCUAGGAAAACUAUGGAAGAGACUCUAAGAAAAGACUUAGAGUACUUGGAUCUAACGAAGGACAUGACACAGGAUCGAGCACAAUGGCGUUCUAAGAUUCAUAUAGCGGAUCCCACUCAGUGACUUGGAUUUUCCAAGUCUCCAACCAAGAAGUUUUCCUCACUCGGGAAAUUAAGGGAACACUACCCCAACCUACAUGCUUCACUCAAAAAGCUUCAACAUACAAGCUUCAACAAAAGAAAAUUCAAAGAACUUAGCGAAGAAGGUUUUGGUGUAUUUAACACAAUACGUUGAAAUGAAGGAAAGCUUAUUUAUUGAUAUCCCCGAUAAGCUACAAAUAUGUACAUAUACAUGAGUCAAAAUAAACACACAAGAGGGAGCCUUCACAAAGGUUGCUUAGGAGAAGUCUCAGCAGUCGGUAAAGCCCCAGAAAGAGAAGGCACCGGAGGGGGAUCAUUUGGAGCCUCAGUACUGGAUAGAACCCUAGAAGGAGGAGGCAUCAGAUGUUGAUCAUUUGGAGCUUCAUUACGCGGUACAGCCCUAGAAGACGAAGGCAAUAAAUGCCUUUGGAACAAACCCACAAAUCUCUGAUGAUCAAGUAAAACCUGACCAUCAGUUUCCUUCAUCUGGUCAAGCUUCCUCUUCAUGUUUGUAGCAUAGUCAUGUGCGAGCCGGUGCAACUGUUUAUUCUCAUGCUUGAGCCCUCUAAUCUCCUGUUUGAGACUCAUCACUUCAGCCGCCAAUGAUUCAACUUGGCGGGUUCGAGCAAAUAGGCGUUGGGCCAUAUUAGACACAGAACCUGCACACUGAACACUGAGAGCCAGCGAAUCCUUAACAGCUAACUCAUCAGACCGUUUGGAAAGUAGUCUGUUAUCUUUGGGAGUGAGAAGGUUCCUGGCCACCACCGCAGCGGUCAUAUCAUUCUUCAUCACGGAAUCCCCAACGGUAAGAGGACCAGUUGGGGAGACGAAGGAUGGGCGCCAUAUGUUGUCUGGAGAAGGCGGGGCUGCCUCUUCAACAAGGUUCAAGUCAAAACGACGGUCGGAGGGGCCAGACAUUUUCAAAGGUGUUGAAGAGAGAAGAGGUCGGACAAAUCAAGAUCUUAGAAGUGCAAGAAUGAAGCUUCUACUGGUGGAGAUUCAAGUGUGCUUUGGAACUUAAUGCCAGCCUCUAUAAAAAAUCUGCACUCGACGGAGCUUCAAAAAUCAAAGAGGCGCCUGCUCAGAAAUCGAAGAAGGCGUUUGCUUUCUCAAAAGUUGGGCUGCUUAGAGAUCACGAGGGUUGAUCUCAGAAAUCGAAGAGUCGUUUGCUUUCUCAAAAGUUGGGCUGCUCAAAGACCACGAAGGCCGAUCUCAGAAAUCGAAGAGGCGCUCGCUUUCUCAAAAGCUGGGCUCCCUAGAGACCACAAGGGCCGAUCUCAGAAAUCGAAGAGGCACCUACUUUUCCAGCCUUGUCAGCACCUGUCACACGCACACUCAGCUUUGCGGAAAUUAUGGGCAUUCUGUCAAAGACUUCUGGGGAAGUAGAAAACACAUGAAUCUUACUGUUCAAUCACCCACUUCCCACACGCAACAAUAGCUCAUGGGUACCACAGAUAACUUUGCCAAAGUUGAGCACGUGAAGCUUGCAGCUCCCACUACAUCGCUCUGACCAAGAAGGGUAAAAGAAUAGCAAAGAAACAGCACUAACAAAGUUUAGACCCAUAAAUUUUGAAGGUCUAGCUACCAUAUUAUUACCCACAAGGGUAAAGGAACAGUACCACUGCUGGAUAAUUGGAAAGUCCAUGUAUGUCAACCUCUGUGCUUCGUGGCAAGGUAGACUAGCAAACAUGCCCAACCUUUACUCACAUUCGAGAAAACACUCCCAAUAAGAUUGCUUGCUCCAAAAUCGAAGAGGCACCGUCCUCCGAAUCUAAAGAGCCAGACUCCCAACAUGACUACUUUCUUAAAAAUCGAAGAGAGGGUAAAGGAACAGUACCAUUGCUGGAUAAUUGGAAAGUCCCUGUGUGUCAACCUCUGUGCUUCGUGGCAAGGUAGACUAGCAAACAUGCCCAACCUUUACUCACAUUCGAGAAAACACUCCCAACAAGAUUGCUUGCUCCAAAAUCGAAGAGGCACCGCCCUCCGAAUCUCGAGAGCCACUCUCCCAACAUGAUUACUUUCUCAAAAAUCGAAGAGACACUGCUCCCCGAAUCUCGAGAGCCAGACCCCCAGCAUGAUUGCUUUCUCAAAAAUCGGUGAGGCACCGUUCUCCGAAUCAAUCGAAGAGGCGCUCGCUUUCUCAAAAGCUGGGCUGCUCAGAGACCACGAGGGCCGAUCUCAGAAAUCGAAGAGGCACCUACUUUUCUAGCCUUGUCAGCACCUGUCACACGCACACUCAGUUUUGCAGAAAUUAUGGGCAUUUUGUCGAAGACUUCUGGUGAAGUAGAAAGCACAUGAAUCUUACUGUUCAAUCACCCACUUCCCACACGCAACAAUAACUCAUGGGUACCACAGAUCACUUUGCCAAAGUUCUCUGCCAAAGUUGAGCACGUGAAGCUUGCAGCUCCCACUACAUCGCUCUGACCAAGAAAGGUAAAAGAAUAGCAAAUAAACAGCACUAACAAAGUUUAGACACAUAAAUUUUGAAGGUCUAGCUACCAUAUUAUUACCCACAAGGGUAAAGGAACAGUACCACUGCUGGAUAAUUGGAAAGUCCCUGUGUGUCAACCUCUGUGCUUCGUGGCAAGGUAGACUAGCAAACAUGCCCAACCUUUACUCACAUUCGAGAAAACAGUCCCAACAAGAUUGCUUGCUCCAAAAUCGAAGAGGCACCGUCCUUCGAAUCUCGAGAGCCAGACUCCCAACAUGACUACUUUCUCAAAAUCGAAGAGAGGGUAAAGGAACAGUACCAUUGCUGGAUAAUUGGAAAGUCCCUGUGUGUCAACCUUUGUGCUUCGUGGCAAGGUAGACUAGCAAACAUGUCCAACCUUUACUCACAUUCGAGACAACACUCCCAACAAGAUUGCUUGCUCCAAAAUCGAAGAGGCACCGCCUUCCGAAUCUCGAGAGCCAGACUCCCAACAUGAUUACUUCCUCAAAAAUCGAAGACACUGCUCUCCGAAUCUCGAGAGUCAGACCCCCAGCAUGAUUGCUUUCUCAAAAAUCGAAGAGGCAUCGUUCUCCGAAUCUCGAGAGAGCCAGAUACCACAGACCACUUUUUUCAAAGUGCUCUGACAGAGUUAAAAACAUGUGAAACUGGCAGCUCCCACUACCGUGCUAUGACCAAGCAGGGUAAAGGAAUAGCAUUACUACUUGUUGUUAGGGAGACUCCUAUAUAUGUCGACCUCCAUCCCCAACGGACAGGCAGACCUGCAAAAAUGCUCAACCCUUCAUCAUAUCUGAGAGGGCACUCCCAACAAAGCCUUUCGAAAUAUUCAGCUUUCUUUCCCCCCGAUAAUACCUCUGCAAACAAGCUAUACUAGAGCAAGAAUAUCUCAUAUCAUCAGGGUUAAAAGCAAGAGUAUCCCAUAUCAUGCUUUUUCCCUGUUUUUUCUUUUGGCCUUGUUUUUUACCUGCAAGACAAGGAGAAAGAGAGCAAUCAGUCAGCACUUGGAAUCAAGCUUCCAGUCAGGAACUGACUGCCUGGAACCCCUUACCUGAUUACUUACCUGGCAUUGCUCUCGAGUACUCAUCUUCAUCAUCUUAUGUUUCCAGGGAAGAUUCCGCAUCUGCUUGAGGAACAGAUAGGGCAAGUGCGAAGGAUACAAGGAAGCAUGUGGAGACAAGCGUAACAGCACACGUGCCGAUACAUCCAUUACUCUGUCAAAAGCAAAAGUAUCCCAUAUCAGCAGGGUGGAACGUACUCUAGAUUUUGAUGGACUUGUUUUGACCCUCAAAUUCUUCAGUCGGCCUUAUACUCUGGAGGAAACCAGAAAACCCUCCAGCUCAGUUCAAGAAUAAGCCUGUGGAAAGUUACUUCUUCAAAAGCAAAAGUAUCUCAUAUCAUCUCUUCUCAUUUUUUCUUCUCUUUAUCCUUCAUGCUGCUGCAAGAUGGGGAGAAGGUGAACAAUCAGUCGGAGCUCUGAUUGCUUACCUUGUCUGUCACCUCUUUCAGCAGACCCCCUAGCUCGGCGACUUGGGGGACUCCUACUACAUGGUUUGUAUCGCGCUUGACCAAGCCUGAAACUACAAGUAAGCUUCAAGUGAAAUUGAUACAUUACCUUGUGCAUCUCCACCAGUUAACGAUACCACCCCUGGAUGGAGGAAGAGUACUUCCAGAGAAGAUGCCACAUCUACCUAUGAGACAGAUAAGGCAAGUCAAGACGACACCACACUCCGAUACUUAGAAGUUUCGUGAUUACGAGAUCAUUCUCCCACAAAUAUUUCCUAAUGUCAUUUGUACUAAAUCAUUCACUCGUACUCACUAAAGGAGAGCUUGAACCUAUGUACUUGUGUAAACCCUUCACAAUUAAUGAGAACUCUUCUAUUCCGUGGACGUAGCCAAUCUGGGUGAACCACGUACAUCUUGUGUUUGCUUUCCUAUCUCUAUCCAUUUAUAUACUUAUCCACACUAAUGACCGGAGCAAUCUAGCGAAGAUCACAAAAAGCGACCGUUUUCGUUCGUUACCUAGGAUCUAUCUUGCAAGAGAACGGAGAAUUAGAUGGAGAUCUCAACCAUAGAAUACGAGCUGGAUGGAAAGAGUACAUCCGGCGUGUUUGUGUGACCGUCGUAGGCCACUGAAGCUCAAGGGAAAAUUUUAUAGGACGGCAAUAAGGCCAGCGAUGUUGUAUGGCAGAGAAUGUUGGGUGGUGAAGCAUCAACACGUACACAAAAUGGGUGUAGCGGAGAUGAGGAUGCUUCGUGGGAUGUGUGGGCACACGAGAAAGGAUAAGAUUGGGAAUGAGGAUAUCCGAGGUAAAGUAGGAGUAGCCGAAAUUGUAGGAAAGAUGAGAGAAAAUCGGCUCUGGUGAUUUGGACAUGUGCAAAGAAGGCCGACUGACGCUCCGGUUCGAAGAUGUGACUACGGGACAGAUGUUCAGGGCCGAAGGGGUAGAGGAAGACCUAGGAAAACUUUGGAAGAGACUCUAAGAAAAGACUUAGAGUACUUGGAUCUAACGGAGGGCAUGACACAAAACCGAGCGCAAUGGCGUUCUAGGAUUCAUAUAGCCGACCCCACUUAGUGGGAAAAGGCUUUGUUGUUGUUGUUGUUGACGAUAUUAUAUUCUAAACUACUUUGGUCCAGAAGAGAUUCGAACUCAGAACCCCUCAAGCCCGCAUCAAAUUUCUCGUUGCUCGCUAAUGUAAGAGAAAUUUCAUUGUUUUCUCAAUAAACCCAACAACGCCUCGUCUUCUCCUUCAACUAUGUUAAUCGAUUUCUUCUUGUAAGAAAUCUUACAGUCUUCAAACUCUGCGUUUCAUUAGCAGCUUCGCAUCAAUACGAGCGUUCAGCGAUGAUACAAAAGAAAUUAAGAAAUAUGCACACACAGAUGGUCCAAUUAUGAUCUUAAAGGACCAUCGAAUAGGCCUUAAGCAGGACCUUGAAACACGCGAAAAUUAGGUAACGCAGUACCUUCAGUAAGCAGGAGCAGCAGCUCAAAGCAAACUAUAAAUAAUAUUCUCUAUCUACAAAUUGUCGUAGAUCGUAGAGAGUCAAGAGCACACCGAUAGCAUCUUCUGGAGCUAUAUUGUUCAGCAGAAACUUCAUAUUCGGGAGCAAUUUCGCCUGUAGAAAUCUUCGCCAUUGUAACAAAGAUAACUUUGCGGUCAUCCUUUCUGCUACAUUAUACAUGUUAAACAAUAGAUGCAUUAGAAAGCUCCUUUAAGUGCAGAAAUCAAGAAGAGAUAAUGUUUCGCAGCCACUUGAAUAUGGCAAUAUGCACUUGUGGAUGCACAACCCCCAUCUCUUCUUCUCAUUGAUAGAAAUACGGGUUUCUUGACAAGACAUUUUCGGGAAGCCUCGAACGUUUUAUGUAGGGGAUCUUAAAACCUGCCACACAAGUCACAGGUCAAUUAAAGAUCCUGUACAAGUUGCAGAACAGACCCUAAACCCUUUGUCAAAACAUAUUAGUAGUUGUUGGUUGUAUGGAAAAGCCUCUAAAAUAAAGCUUCUUAGUUCUUCGAGGAACGUAGUUGAGGAGAAUGCAAAUUCAUAGCAUGCAAACAAGUGUAGAACACGUACCUGACAGACAUUGAAUUUCUCCAGUGAUAACAGCGUCUGAAUAUACCGAACCUCUGAAAGCAAAUAUGCCUAAAUGGAGAAGAUAUAGAUAGAAGGUAAGAUACAAUGGCGGGUAAUAAACAUUCUUAUGUAAUUCUUGAUUUUCUCUCAAAUUUGAAAUACCUGGAACGGAGUAUGAGAAUAGUAGGCUUGAAUGUUUCCUCUUGUAUCAUUUUUUAUCAGGGAGCUAGGAUCCUCUUGUCUCCCAACCAUAUGUAAGGGACAUGAGCUAUGGAGCGCCAAUAUCGACCUUUAUCUGGUUUGCAUCUCGCUUCUAGCAGAGGACAAUGACGGAUACUAAGUUGUGUCAGUGGAACAAGCUGGCCCUCAUAUGGAAUGGAUUCUAGCUUGGGACAAGUCCAGAUGUAAAGAGAUUUAAGAGAUGUGAGGAACUGAAAGCCCUUGCUGGACAGGUACCGGAGAUGUGGGAAGUCUUCAACGAUGAGUUUAAUGAGAGAUUUGGGGAGCACCAUCUCCGUAGGUGGAAAGAAGACUAGAUCUGGAUCUUCACCGCUGAUCCACAACUCUCUGAGAGAGGUUAGUCUGUGCAAACCACAUUGGAAGAGUGGCUCGCAACUCUUGAGAUUCAGAAUUUUAAGUGAUAUUAGGUUAGGGGGAAAGCCCUCUCCUAGAAAGGACAUGAAACCAUCACAAUAAGGGAUUCUUAAUAUCUCGAGAGAGUUGAGGUUGUGCAUGCCUUUGGGUAAGGCCUCCAGUUUAUCACAAUUAGUGAUGUCAAUCUCUCUCAAAUUGGAAGCGAUUAUCUCAAAUCCUCCCCGCUGGAACGAAACAAGACUUCUACAACCAUAAAUACUCAACUUCUGAAGAUUGGGAAGGUAGCAAAGGCCUUCUGGUAAAGAUUUAAGAUUUGGGCAAUACCAGAUAUGAAUGUAUUCAAGAUGAGUGUUGUGGUCGAACGUGUCAGUUAUGAACUCCAGUUGUUUACAAGUGUGUAUCUGAAGGUGCUUAAGCGCCUUGGGCAGCUGGAUUCUAGAUGACAAGGACGUCAGAGAUGGACAACUCCAUAUGCUCAAGUAUUCAAGACAAGAUUCCUCAUUUUGUGUCAAACAAGGAGAAGAAGAUGAUGAUGCAGAACCAUCUCUGUCCUCCACUAAUGAUUUCAAAUUUUGGCAUCUGUUUAUCUCUAUUCUUCUUAAACUUGGGGGUAGACGAUAUCUUGCAAAAUGCGUGAGAGAAUCACAACCUCGAAUCUUUAUUUCCUUAAGAGAAGGCGGCAAGUCAACUUCUGGAAAAGAAACUAGGCUUGGCCAUUUGUCAAUGUGAAGUUCUUGAAGUGAUGUCAGGUGAUGCAAUUGAACUAGGUGAGAAUUACCUUCAAUUGUCAAACGGUGAAGAGAAGUAAAGUGUUGCAGUAAUGUAUCCUCACUCUGCAACGACGGUGUCAGCUCUGCACAACCAGUUAUUUCCAAAUCUAGCAACUGAAACUCAACCGCACUCUGAUACACCAAGCCUUUACAACUGUGGACGCACAACGUGCAAAGUUCUCUGUAGUUGGCAACUGAAACCACCAACUGAUCGCAUUCGCGAAUCACAAGAUUUUCUAAUGAAGAAAUGUUGAAGAAAUGUUCUCAGGUAUCGUACCCUCCAAUUUGGGGCAUGCAUCUAUGGAAAGCAUUUUCAGGCAAGGAAACUCUCUAAUUCCCUGAAGUCGUUCGCAAGGAAACCACUCCUUCCAUCGUUGCAUAUUCUGAAACGAAAGGGUCUCUAGUACCGGAAAAGGAAAGUUGCCCUCUCCAUAAAACUCGGAACCCACAUUUUCUACUUCAGACAUUCCUUUUAUAGAAAUCUCUUUCAGAGAAGGCAAUUGUCCAAGUGGUGGCAAGAAUUUGCAGUUACAGCAAUCUUGUAAGCGUACAACUACAAUAUUAGUGAACGAAGGAUUUCCCACCAAAGUAGAAAUCUUCACACCACUAUAUCCCCUGAUGGUGAGUUCCUUGAGAUUUCUAUGAGCUUGUAGCAUGUCAAGAACAUCUGCCUCCAUUUCUCUUGUGCCACUCCCUUCUGACCAUUGUAGUAGCAAGAAAUCAAUCCCUUCCUUGCUAAUUAAGUCAGCCCUCCUUGCAUCUUCAACUUCAGUCACAUUCUCCAAUCUUGAGAGGUGUAAUGUCCCCCGAAGAUGCAAUAGGGGCCCUAUGUCCAUCAACCUUGACGCGCUACCUUUACCCACGGCAAAAUUGGCUAGUGUCUGCAGAUUAGUCAACCGCCCUAGUUGCAGAGGCAUCCCUUUCAGAGAAGGUACAUUUGAAUUGUUGAGAUGACGCAAAUUAAUCAAAUUCCUCAUGUUUAUGGGCAGUACCUCCAAACGUGAACAAUUCUCUAAUAGCAAUACCUGUAAGUUACAAAGUGUGCUUGUUGAUUCAGGUAACCGUGUUAUCAGUGUGUGAGAAACAUCAAGGUAGCGUAGAAACUUCAGUUUACCAAUCGAAUUUGGUAGCUCAGUUAUUUGAUAGCUGUUCAUUGAGAAGACCCGUAAGUAUUGCAAUUUUGGCAAUAAAUCAAGAGUAACCUUACAAGUCACAUAAUUCUGGGGGUUUUCUGAAAGUGUAAACGGUAGGAAAGUCCGCAGGUGUUUAGCCGAGAAAAAGGUGCCAAAUUUUUGAGCCCCAUCAAACUCUCCAGAAAUGUAAGAAGAAUGACGAGCUUUUGGAGUACAUCUGAGCUGUUGCAUGCUCUUAUCCACGUUAUCCUCCAAUCUAAAACAUACUUUUCCUGCAGCCCACCGUGCAAGUUCACUAAUGAGGUCAUGCAUUACAUAUUUUGAAUUGCUUUUGUUCGAUUUCUGAAACAAUGACCUGGAUAAAAGCUCCUGAAAAUACUCUCCACCCAGAUCUUCCAUUUGUCUACCUUCUUCCGAAUGCUGAAUCAAACCCUCUGCCAUCCACAGGAGGAUCAACUGCUUCUCACUAAAUUCGUAGUCAUUGGGAAGUAUUGAGCAAUAGGCAAAGCAUCUUUUAAGGUUUGAAGGGAGAGAGUGAUAGCUCAAUUUCAGUACUGGGAGAAUGCCACUCUUAUCUGAUAGACUCCAUAUUUUGCUGUCUAAUAUUCCUUGCCAUUCGCCCAUUCCUUUACACCGUAAAAGUCCACCAAGAGUUCUCGCAGCCAGAGGCAAUCCAUUGCAUUUUGCAAGGAUUUUCUCCCGAAGUAACUCAAAAUUGCGCGGUCUGCCAUUGUUAAUGUCCAAGAAUGAAUGCUGUUCAAACACUUGCCAGCAAUCAUCAUUUGAUAUAUAAUUCAAAUUAUGAACUUGAAUGGCUCCCAUAAUUUUCGCAACUGUUUCAUGACGUGUUGUCACAAGCACCUUGCUUCCCAGUGCUCCAACCCGAAAUGGGGACUGCAACUUCGUCCACAUAUCAUAGUCACAUGUGCUCCAAACAUCGUCCAAGACAAUCAGAAACUUCUUACCAGCUAAUUCCUUACUCAGAUUGUCCUGAACUUUACUGAACUCCUUCAACUUACAGUGCUCGGAUGUGAUCGAUUCAAGAAUUGCCUUUGUCACUCUUACGAUGUUGAAGUCAUCCGACACAUACACCCAUACCUUAAGAUCGAACUGUUCCAUGGCAUCAUCGUUGAAUACAUGUCCUGCAAGUGUUGUCUUUCCGAUCCCCGCCAUGCCAAGAAUGGAAACUACAUGAAAGUUGCUGGUACAAGGCUCGGAUAUUGACAGCAACUCGACCAUCUUCAUUUUGUCUUCAUCCCUUCCGAUAACAGGUCCAUCUGGUUGACAAGAACUGGGAGGCACUCUAUAUGCCUUAGUAGUGUAUGCCGAAGUUCCAGUAUCGUUCAAGCGAAGCUGGUCCUUCCGUUCAGAUAUCUCUACCAGUCUAUCCGUAAUCUCCUUCAUUUUCAUGUUCAUACAAAAGUUGAAUUUAGCUUUAGGAAUUAGGCUCCGUACCUUGCUCGCUCGAGUUCCAUGUCGCUGCUUGACCUUGCGUCGUAACGUCUGAAUGGAGAAUCUGUCCAAUAUGUCUUCCACAUCAUAAGCCAGGUCUUUGAGAUCAUCCAGCCACAGUCUGAUUGCCUCACUUGUGAGCUGUUUCUCUUCCGCAUCAUACAGCACAGCUCCAAUUGCAGACAGUAUUGCACUCCAUUUCUUCAGUUUCCUAUCGACAAUCCGUAGGCGACCGAAGUUGAGGAUACCGCGGGGCGUCAACCUGUCGAGCAGCACCUGCAGAAAUGCCCCAAGAAAUAAUUCUCCAGCUACCAUUGUUUGUUUUGUUGAAUGAAGCUGCCAAAACUAUCUCUCAAGCUAUCAAUAACAAGACUUGGUAGUUGGUACGCCACAAAGUCAAAGUCCCCCUUUGCAGCACAUGGACAAUGCACUCACAGAGGAAAUUAUCGAACGACUACGUUUAAAUUUGAGAAUUGUUACAAACAAUCUAAAAUAUUUUCCCACAAAAAAAAAAAUAAAUAAACAGGGCUUAGGAUAAAACAAAGAACAAUACUCAGUUACUCAAAGAUGAGUAGAAAUUUUUACCUACUUAAAAUUUCUCAAAAUUGUUUGUUGUCAAUUUAUAGAACUUUGUGUUUAUUAUCAGAAUUGUUCUAUUAUAUAAAUCACUAUAUAAAGAUGGCUUUUGCUAAAAAUCAAUUAAAACUAAGGUCGUUUAGUCAUGAAACUAUUUAAAAAUAAAUUAACAGUAUUGGUAAAAGCAUUAGGAACCGUCUAUGUAUUUACUACAAUAGAGUGACUAAACGACCUUAAUUUUAAUUUAAUUUUUGCAAAGAUAAUCUUUACAAUGUGAUUCAUAAUAUGAACGAUUCUGAUCGUAAUCACAAAGCUCCACGAUUAAAACACUAAGAAUUUUGACUUUUUGAGUGAGAAUUCCUACUCUAACAGGAAGCUGCUACCGCUAAAUGUACAACAUACAACACUAUACAAGGCAAUUAAUAUCUCUUUUUUUCCAUUUUCUCUUUUUUUUUAUCAAAAUAUAAAUGUUACGAAACAGAUUAACAAAGUUAAUAUCCUUCAAAAAAUAAACCAUUAAUCUGUCCGUCUAUACACAAAUUUGAACCUAAACAGUAACAUCUCCGUCAGAAAACACUUGAUGAGCUGACUACUACUCUUAUCUCCAAAAAUGUUUUCCAUCGCUUUAUGAUCCCAUGCCAUAAUUAACUCCCUUUCAUCUCCAACCCAAAGAAUAAAGCCAAAAUUUUCGAGUGGGGAAGCCUUCGCCUUCACUUCUUCCGCCUCCAUGUAAAAAUGUUCUCGACCAUAUACAAAAAGAAUAUACCCCAAUUUAUUGGAAUUCCGAGGACCACGAGCAUUUCAUGUCGGGCAUACCGCAGAAGGUAACGUCAUAUUCGGGACUUGUUUCCGUCUGGCUUAGGUUCUGUUCGAACAUAGGUUAAGACUGCGAGCUGUUGGUGAAGGAACAGCAGUGGCAGUGACUGGAGCACCCAUCUCACCUGGAUUGGCCUGAGUAUCACGCUUCCACUGCAUGCUCCUGGCACCAGGUUUGAUUAGGGGGCGAGGCCUAUAUGCACCAGACAUGCCUCUCUGGAAUGGGGACCAACCAAACCUGGCAGUGGCAAAUGGAGUGCCCCGGGCAACCCUUGGCCACGUCAUGCCCGGAGCUGCUUCUUGAUGUGCAGCUCCCCUCUUUACAACCUGCAAUAGGAUAAUGACACGGGUAAAGAUUUCACUCCUACAUUUAAACACCAUAAAUUACAAAUGCAAAAUGUAAGGAUUCAUGAUCAGUGUUAAUAUCGUCUAAUGGCUGACGAAUCAAAUCCCAAAAUGCAAUGACACAUACAAAUCCUUACGGCAAAGAUUUACCAUGAAAAAUCAUAUGUUAAGAAGGAAGCUAAAUAGAGUUCUGUUCUCCAAAGACCUCACAAUAGCAAAAAGUCAUCACUAGUUCUAGUUACUACAAAUGUUUACCUUGAGGAUCCUUGACAUGAAAGAGGUUCCGUCCAGAGAUAAUGCAUUGUCUGCGGCCUCCCUCCGUGUGAACUCUACGUAAGCUGACCUGCUCAAGUAAAGUUAUUUAGUAAAGACUAACUAAGGAAUAUAUAUUGUCCUCGUAUAAAAGGAAGGACUAGGCCAAGAGCUAAGAAGAAUUAUGAUGAGACAUCUUACCCUUUAGGCUGCCCAGUUGCUGCAUCAGUAACUAUCACUACUUUUAGCACUUCCCCAAACUUGUUGAAAUGUCGAGAAAGACUAUCUUUUGUAGCAGCAAAGUGGACCUGUGCAUUCAUGAAAAAAUAUAACUAAAACUGAAAUUGCACAAAACCGAGACAAAACCUCAAACAUUGAACAACAAGAAGGAAGGUAUUACAUUGUUAACAAAGAUAGUUCGACAAUCUGCAUCCUCCAAUGGGCGUCCACUGGCAUAUAGACCUGCACGAUAUUCCAUAAUAAAAAAAUUAAUAAAGAUGCAUAUUUGGAUACUACUCGAAUGACGGAGAUCCAACACCAGAAAGAGAAUCAAUUAUUUGACUAACUAAUAAAAAGUAGGGACUUGACUUCUCUCAUCUCUAAAUGGAGGUAAGCAGUAAUAAUGUGGAAAAAAAAAAAAAAAAAAAAAGAGAGGAUUAUUUUAGAAGUUUCAAAACUCACCAGCAGAAGAGGAAAGCAUCUUAGGAGAAUCUGCAGCAGGUGUUACCUGAUAUCAUAAAAAGACAUUCAAUAACAGUCUCUAAGUGCAAUGAAAUAUCAAGUGAAUUUAAUGUACAAGUGAUGAUAGAGGAGAGGAAGGUUUGGGAGUGUGCGUGCAUCUUACAUUUCCAUUACUUGCUCCAACAGGAUUGCCGUUCUCCUUCAUCACAUGCAAACCAGAUUUGGCAACCCCUGCCUCACUAUUCUGUAGGGAUUUCCAAUCAUCACCAGCAACUUCUCUUGGCUCCUGAUAAUGGGGUGCUUUCCAAGUAUUGACAUUCACAGAUAUAUUCACAAUCUUAUGAGAAGAAUUCGCAGCUGCAAAAGAUUGACCGUGAUCUUUAUUCCUGGAUAGCUGCAUAACAUCAUCAACAUUCUUCGCCACAUUGUAACGCGCCAUUAGUAAAUUUUCAGCCUUGCUUCCACCAGAUGUCCCAGUUUGAGAAACAUCAGUAACUAUACGACCCAUAACAUUAACAUCAUCAAACCCUUCAUUGUCCGAUACAAAAUCAGAAGCCAAACCAGUUUCACUUUCUAACAUAGCAUUCCCUACAUACUGUCCACUGUAUUCACUUCUAGCCGGAUAUGACGAUCGUUUUUGUUCAUUAAGUUGGACGACAUCUUCAAAUUCAACAUCCUCGGUAGCAGCAUCUCUGGAUGGUGCAAGAGGCACACUGGUCUCAGAAAACUCCAUACCACGACCUAGUCGGUCAAACACACUCCUUGAAGGUUUAACUCUUGUUACAUCUUCAGCAGCUUCUGCAACAGCUUUCAUUACAGUUGACAUGGGAUUUGGCACCCUGGCGACAGACUGAAUCCGUCGAGGACGAUCAACCAAUGAUGAGUCAACAGUGGGUUUAGAUACCACAGAACGAAGACGCUUCAACGUGGGCUGAGUUGCUGAAUUGGAUUGCCUUGAGGUCGUUAAUGCAUCACGCAUAGCAAAUUGGAGUAGCCGUCGAGGGGCAUCAAUAGUCACUUCAGAAACUGGUUCCCUCUGUCAAGAAGAGGAUAAUCGAGUGAGAAAGUUGAAUAAUUGUUAUCAAAGUGCAUACACUCUAUACGAAAUAAGUCUCCAAAAUGAUCUUUCUUAAAUUGCAUACUCAAUCAACCCUUGCAAUAAGCAUAAAAUACAAUGUUUUGGGGGUGGGGAUAUUCUUUGUGUGGAGAGAAGAAGCAAAGGAGGAUUGCUAGAGCGUGACAAAAGAAACAAUAUGGACAUUUAAAACCAUUAAUAUGUCCAAAGGCAGGUUAUAGCCUAUAGGCACCCACGCAAGCACAUGAAAACAAAUUCAUAAAACAUUAUCAAUAAUGGACCACUGAUAGAUUGAAUAAUACUGAACAAGACCAAGUACUUGAACAAAUCUUUCAAUUUCAAAAGUUAUUAGUAUGAAAAGGAAAAGUCCUGAAUACAGAAAGGAUAGUUCCAAUACUGUAUAAGUGCCUUGAAUUCUGUAGUAUAGCAGUCCACACCACAGUUCAGGAUAAAAGAAGUUAUUUAUAUCUAUUUAACAGAGACAAAAAAGAUUUGCCUAUUCCACACAACUUCAAAAUGGAUAAUUAUCACAUGAAUCAAUAUGCCCCAAUACAGCAGCAAGAUCCAUGUUCAAAUUAUUAGAAUCAAAUUCAAGUACCCCCUGCUCAAUAUCAUAAAAGAAAGAAAGAAAAAAACACAAAAUCAAACCUCUGUAUUGUGUCGCUCAUCAGGCCGAAUCCUUUUCCUUUGAGCUGCAGGUUGACGCGAAGGAGACUUCGCAUCACUGACUUUGCUACGACUUUUUUCUUCUACAUGAAUAUCUCCGAUCUCAGAGCUUCGAAAAGGAGGGGGCUCAGCUGCAUCCCUUGUUAGCCCUUUCCAUUCUCUAGUGUGCCGGCUUUUAGUUGACUUAUUAGACUUCUCCCUUUCUGGCUCAGAACCCAAAUGAUACAAAUCACUUUUUCCUGUAAGGUCACCUGAUGUGGUUUUUCUUUUACUCACAUCUUCCACCUCAGGAUCCUCUGAUUGUAGAUGCAAAUCCGAAUUUGAAGCCAGAUGACCCCACAACCUAGUGAAAAAAAAAACUUAAAACAAAAUUUUAGAAUGUUGCCCACAAUAAAUAUGUAUGUUCCAAACUAAACAACCAUUAUAUGUGAAAUAACAUUGCUCAUAACGAGGGAAAAUAAUCAAUUACCAAGAAACAAAAGAAUCACUGUCAUCCCCCAAAAACACGUUCAGCUCAUUCUUUGCUUCUUCUUUGCCCCUGCCAUUCUUUAGAAGGACAAUAACGUAUUCCUGCAAGGAAAUUAGAAAACUUAGCGAGAGUUCUAGUGCCAUUACUUUUUUCUGUGGAUAUAUUUACAAAAAGACAAAAAAACCAGGGGUUGAACCCAAGCAGACAAUUGAACACAAAUUUAAAUGAAGAAGAAGAGAAGAAAACGUCCUCAUAUAUGUUUCAGCUUUCAUCUCAUGCAUAUUAAACUACACUGACAGAUAUAUGAAGGGCACAGAAAAAAAUUCUAAGGUUAUAGAUGGCAAGCAUGGAGUACAAUCUAGUUCAAAUUACUUCAUAAGCUUGACUAAUUAGACAUCCGAUGGGGAGGAGAGGGGAAAGAGAAAUGUUUAGAAUCAAAUAAUCCCAAUGGACCAAUUUCAGCCACUAGAGCAUGGGUUCACAUAAUCAGGACUGUAACAAGAUGACAAGAACUCUAGGAUAUCACUAAAAUUUAAUAGUAAGCAUAUAGCAACUCUCUUCGAAUGGCAUCACUUCAACAAAAUUUUGAUCACUCAUACCCUAAGGGAGAGAGAGAAAGAGAGAACCUUCUUUUUACCUAUACAACCUAUUACUAGAAAAAGAAGAAAGAAAAAAACAGUUCUUACUAACUAGGACUGGUAACUAAAACCAUUAAUUAUCAGAGAUAUGUUUCAGAAGUUACGGUAUUGCUCGAAAGAUGGAACUGGAUAAAACAUAAUGGCUAUGCAUCAUUUGGAACUAAAUAAAUGUAAAAUUAAACCACAGAGUGCCAACUAUAUAUCUGUAGACCAAACAAAAAUAUAAUAAUGUUAUAUGUCACUUGGUCAUUUAACACAAAGAUAUUGAUAUCAUAUUCCCUAAGAAAUAUGGAGCCCAAGAAACAACCCACAUAUGAACAAGACUGUAAUCUCAGGAAAGACAGAACCACACACUUAAUAUGACGGUUUGCUUAUAAUAACAAUAACAUCUGAAAAAGAAUGAUACUGGUACUUCAAGAUAUUCCAAUUUGUGUAUUUAAAUUUCAUGGUUGUAUUGCUUCUCUAAGGUUAAAAAUAAGGACCAUGAUAAGAUCGGAAAGCAAUCUCAAAGUGUCCAGUGAAAGUCCAAGAUGUACUGAGCUAACACUGCAUUUAAAUUUUCUUUUAUGGACACCUUAAAUAGCCAUGUCCUUUCAGCUUCAAAAGCAUGCUCAAACUUUAUGCUUCCUUGCCUAAUACUAAGAAGAAGUAGCUCAAUAUGAAAACCCACAAAUACACCCCUACAAAAUUAAAAGUCUAUAUGUAACCGUUCAAAUUCUGUUUAAAGCUUGUGGCACACAUACAUACAUAUGUCAGGAUAUACACAACAAAGGACCCAAUGUAACCCCCCCCCCGCCUGUUUCCUUUUUGUUUCAUUAGUUUAGCAUUCGGCAGCAGUCCACCUGAAUCUGGCAGCUAUUAAGAACAUCACAUUAUAUUUCCUCAUUAAGGAGAAAAUCAGCAUUUGAAAGAUUUGGGGAGGGCAUCAGCAUCUUGUAAGAGGACUUUUCACAUUGGUAUGUUGUCCCUCCCUCUUGAAAGCUUUCCGCCUUUAAAAACUCCCUACACGGACAACCACCUUAAGGAAUCCCAUGCAAAAACCCAAGCACUGCAGUCACAAACUUUGUCAAAAAGACCUGACAGCUCAUAUUUUGAACAAUGGCAUAAACUUGUUAAAACCCCUUAAUAAGGUAUUCGAACUUUCUUUUUUUUCAUAAAAGGUAGCCAACCUGAAGCAAGAGAACUGCAACCAUUCUCUACAUAAUCAUAUCAACUCAAAGAGAGCUCAAAAAUCUAAGCGACGAUUUAAAUGGAAACAAAUUUCCAUGGUUCGGCAUAUCUCCCUGUCCGACCUAUGUUGUCUUACCCUAAACCGAAUGGCAACAUCAACAGUUCAUACCAAUUCAUGGUCACAUCAAAAUAAAUCAAAUCCAAGAUAUCCAAUAGAGUUUCAUGACAGUGAAGACGAAACCAAAUCAAAAUCCCAACCUUAACUCCAUAUAUAAAAUAAGAACCACGAAAACAAUAGGCAAUCACUCCAAUUAAAACAGAAAAUCAAACGGGAAAAAAUUCCCCAAUCAAAGCACUGAAAACUGGCUAAUAAUCAGCAUAAAUUUCAGAACAAUGCGCAAAAGAUUACUAUUAGCCGAAUGAGAGAGUCCGUACCACAAGAGUGUCGUCGGUGUAAUCCCCCAUGAACUCCUUAAGCUUCUCUCUCACACUCUCUCUCAACUUGAUGACUGAAUCGCCCGUCAAAUUAACCCUAAAGGUCCUAUCAUCGACUCGAUCCACGCUCCCCAUCGCCACGAAACCCUAAUUUCGGCCUUAAAGAGCAAACCCUACCGCCCCAAUGCUUCAGAAACCUCCACCAAUCGUAAAACCCUAGCUCGCGUUUUAAAAUAUCCUCGCAGCCGAUCAAAACCCCUCCCCGCCGGAACUCGGGGAUUUCCCCGGAGGGUGACGUAAAUGAUUUCUUAGGAAAUUGGGUUAUAGGGUUUCGUGGAAAAAUCCGCCGGGAGAGAAUUACCGGGAGAAAAAAAAGGAAUCCUUGAUUGUAAAAAGAGAAGGAGAGCGGGGCGUGUCGUACUCGUAUGAUAUCGUCGGGUUUUUUCUCUUUUUUAUUUUUUUGGCUUAUAUUUUGUUUUGUAGCUCUUGUUAAUUUAUACAAAAUCUAAUUUUAUUCCUUACCCUUUAUUUAUUUUUUUUCUUAUUUUUUUAUCAAACGAUUGGUUUUAUUAGAUUAGAUGUUAGAUUAGUCAUCGAAUGGGUUCGAAUCCAUACUGUCAUGCAAAAGCUUAACUCAUUUUCAUCACUGUGAUAAAAUGUCACUUGCUCCCUUUAUUUUAUCUCAAUCAUCAUAUGUGUUCAUUUUUUGAAAUUUUAAUGAGUAACUAUUAAUAUCCAAUUCGUUACCGGUAUCACCACAACCCAUCUCACCACCAUAUUAUAGUGAAAUCAAGUUAUGACUAGUUUGGUAUUACUAUUUUUUCUAAAACUAUUUCUGUUAUGCUGUAAAAACAAACGAAGGUGGAAAGAAAAAAAAAGUAUUUGAUAAAUUGUUAGGUUAGAAGUGCUUUUAGAAAUGAAAAAAAAAAGAGAAACUAGGAUUGUCAAAAAUAGUUUUUUUUAGAAGUAUGGUAGAGCAAAUAUGAAUAGAGUUGUUUCUUCUUUCCGCUCUUUAACACUCAUAAUUUUGAAAUAAAAUACUUUUUCUUUUUAUUUACCAAAAUAAUUUUAGCUCCAAUUUUUUUAAAAGCUGCUUUUUUUUUUAAAUUUAAACAACUCCACCCGUUAACAAAUCGAUAUUAUUCCUACAUGUAUUGGGAUGCUAUAUGAGAAACUGACAAAAUACUGCGCAGCGCACGUAACAUCGAGGGGGAAAAAAAAAACAAAUAAAAAACAAAACAAUAUCGGGCACGUAACUCACUUCCACUUCUUGACGCGAAGGAUUGUCUGCACCCGACUCUAUACAUAUUCCGUGUCUUCGAGAGUCUAAAUGGUCGGAUACUUCUAAUCUCCAGAGGGCAAGAAAUUCCUUUAAUCUUACUGAUUCCCUCCUCCACCAAUCACAACUAGAAACGUAGGUUGACUCACUACACCACGGAAACACCUGAUCAUUGCUUUGGGUCACCCCCUCCACGCUCUCUCAUCGCUUAUAAAGUCGAAGCUGGAACAUAUAUGGCUUCUGCUUCUCCUCCUCACACCUCUCUCUCCCUCUCUCCUGUUCGCUUUAGGGUUCGUCUCUCUCUCUCUUCUCUCUCUCUUCUCUCUCUGUCUAUGUGUGUUUGAUUUUCGAAAUUUUGAUUGUUUGAUUAUUUGAUUAUUGGAUUAUUGAAGGGAAGCGGAUAGGAACCAUCUCUGUGUGAACUGCAGGAGCUACUUUGAAGAGGUUGGUUCCUCUGCGAACAGGUGAGUCGUAGAUUGUUGUUUUUAAUCACUAUUCGCUUCUGGGUUCUGCUUUUUUCGAUGAAUUAUGUUAAGGAUGGCUGAAGAAGCGGAGCAGCUUAUGUAUGUGAUGAAAGAUGUGAAGUUUUCAAAUGAAAAAAAAAUGGUAUUUUGAUCGUGGGUUUUGGGUUCUGAUGGGAGAAUAGACCUUAAUCCCUGGUGUGAGGAUGUUAAGAAUAAGAAAUUAAGGUUUUUUUUAUGCAGAUUUAAAUGAAUAGUUCUCAAAGUUUGAAGCUUGAUGAGUUGGUUUAAUUACUUGUGUGUUUUGCCAUUAGCAAUUGGUUUGAAUUAGCUUGAAGAAGUAGAUUUAAUGGCAUGAUUAGUAUGUUUAUGUAUUAAUAUGAAACUUAAAAAUAAAAAAAAUAAAAAAAAUAAAAAGCCAUGACUCAGUGCCACCGCUAAGACAUCCUUCUACCAUCCUUAUUUUCUUUAACAAUAUACAUGUAUAUAUGUGUAUAUAUACAUAUAGAUAUAGAGAGAUAGUCAUGGAAUCAUGGGAUUUCUAGUAUUCUAAUUGGUCGAAAACGGUGGAACACACUAUUUUAUGAUCAGGUUCAGAUUGGUUAGGUAUCAUCUAGCUAUGUAGUUUUACCUUGUUAUUUGUUUCAAUUGCGUUCUUGAGGUUUUAUGAAAAUCAGUAGUUCCAUCGAGUUUAUAGAAAGACCCUUCGUAUUUUCAUACGGUGUUGAAUUCCCCUUUACCAGGUAAAUUAAAUUUUCUAUGACCGAGAGGGCUACUGUUCUGUCAGUUGUUGUCUUCUGAUACCCCAAAUCCCGCAUACCUUUUGCAGUGGGAAGACAGUGGCUGCUUUAGUAAGGCCUAGGAGUGCAAUAGUUAACUUCAACUAGCACUUUUGGAUGUGCAUUGGGUUGUUGUGACAGUAGACUUGAAUUACUGUUGUCUUCCCCACUCUUGAGCUAAAUAUAUGUGGUUGGUGUUUAUUUUACUGUGUUUACUCUUUAUUACAAGAUCAUUGCAGCCGAAGUCUGUUCAUAUUGUUGUUAUACCGACUGUCACCUUUACAAGGAGGUAAGACAGUGCUUGUUUACAUUAAUCUCAGAUUUACAUUAAUGGAACUCCUCGGACAAAAUGGCAAGACUGCAAAAGCUCAUUCCUUGGUUUUUUAUGGGGGUUGCCCUGUUUAAUGAUUGUAAAAAAAAAAUUGCAGAAUAAGGAAGUAGGCUUAUUUUCUUUUACUUAAAACCUCUGCCUUCCGAGAAUUAUUAUCUUUCGCUAGCCCAUCUUUGUCUUUGUCUCUUUCUAUCGCCAUAUCUCUCAAAUGGCAUUUUUUUCAUAAAUCGCCCUCCCUUUGUAUGAGGUGAAGGGGGAAAUAGAUUGGUGGGAUAAAAACUUCUUCUGUGCCUGGCUUUUAUCACUAGAAAAAUAAAAUAAGAGGAAGUGGCAGUGGCAGUGGCAGUGGCAGUUGACCUCUUAUGGUAUUGCUUUCUUUAAUAAGGUUUGCUAUCCUAUCAAGAAGGAUGAAAUACAUGUUUUACAAGCUGUCAUAUCCGUGCAUUGUUAUAUUUUCAGUUUAACUGAUUGAACACUUGGGCAAAGGAUACUACUCAUAUGGUCACACCCAACGGUGUUAUGCACAUUUUCCCCUAACAGAAAAAGAUAAAAAGUAUAAAGUGAGCUUUCUUCUUUCUCACUGUUUAUUAGGUAUGUCUAGUUAAGUGGAACUCUCCCAAUUAGAUACAAGUUUCAUCUUGAGGCUUCAAAACUAGAAUUGUAAUCAGAGCAUCAAUACUUAUAUCUACUAUCCAACUUAUUGUCAUACAUGAAGCAUACUUCUCUACACUGAGAAUAAAGGGAAGUCCUCACUACUUUUUGUUGGCGAUUUUCCAGUUAAUAUGGUCCUUUUAGUUGGCGAUCUAACAUUCCAUCUUUCUUAUGCUAAGAUUCAAACUACUAUGCUGAUUUUAAUUUAAUGAGUUGAUGGAUGAGUCUGCUUGUUUAUACUGUUGUAAUUGCUUGGCUGUGUAAUAUUGUAGACGUCUGGCAGGGGUAGAUGUCUACCUUGAGCUGUGUUAUUGUAUAUUUUUUGAGAACUUAAGUGAAUUACAAUGCAGGAAAUUCUAAGAAAAUGGAGCACAAUGAGACAGGAUGCCAAGCUCCUCCUGAAGCUCCCAAGCUUUGUGCCAACAACUGUGGAUUCUUUGGAAGUCCAGCAACCAUGAAUCUGUGUUCCAAGUGCCACAAGGACUUGGUGUUGAAGCAAGAACAAGCUAAAGUCGUUGCGGCAUCCAUUGAUAGCGCGGUGAAUGGCAGCCCCUCUGAAAGUGGGAAGGGGCCUGUUGCUACUGCUGCUGUAGAUGUACAAGCUGGCCCCGCAGAUGUGAUGCUUAUCUCAACACAGGCAUCCUCUACUCCAUCUUUGAACAUUAAGAGGGAGGAGAAGGUGAAAGAGACUCCUACCAGGUGCGGCACUUGCAGGAAACGUGUUGGUCUAACUGGGUUCAGUUGCCGAUGUGGAGAUCUCUUUUGUGCAGUUCAUCGGUACUCUGAUAAACACAACUGCCCUCAUGAUUACCGGACUGCUGCUCAGGAUGCAAUAGCCAAAGCCAACCCGGUUGUCAAGGCAGAAAAGCUGGAUAAAAUCUGAUAAAAGUCUUGGAAUUACAAGGUUUAAUCUUUUUAUGUAUUGCACACAUGCUCUCAUUUCUCUACCCAUGUGGCUUCUGCUUCUGUUUAAGUUGAUCUUGUUAUGUCAGGUCUCUUGUGUGUGAUAGAUGGUUGGAAGCUGUUGUGGGCAUUUUCAAAUGUCAGGAACGAUUGUGUGUAAUAAUCCCAGCCGUUCGUGAGGGCCGUGAGGCCGUCACGAGGAUUUGGUACCGAUGGUGUUUUGGACCUUGUUUAUUUUGCUUGUUUGGGAUGUAGUUUAUCAGAUAUAGGAAGGUGCCAAGGUAGGUAGCAUGCUCAAGUAAUUCACGAUAAUGCUCAUAACUAAGGUUUUCCCCAUGUGUUAUUUGGGGUGGGGGAAUUGGAAUCGAACUCGCGACCUCAAGGUGGAAAUUUGAAUGUUUUUAGUGAUAACUGAGUUACAAAUCCUUUGCAGAAUAGAAGCAUUUUAACUUCUGAGUUGGGACCACUUCCAGAAUUUUAUGUUGUAGAAAAUUGGUGGAUCAAAACCACUGGGGUUAGCUGUGGUGAGGAUCGGUAGAGAUGUGUAGGAGUAGGCUAAGUUCACGGUUCGAUACUGCCAAUAUAAUUUUAAAAUGAAAAUUUUGGUAUAUCGGUUCGAUAUUGUCUUAGUAAGGAAGAGAUCCUCUCCGGAUCUUGCACACCUCCCUACCAUCACUCACUUCCCCUCCCCCUCCCAUCCCAAUUCCUGCUGCAUAUUUCCCCACCUUGAACUCCUCCCAUUUUCUUCUUCUUGUUUCUCUGCGGUUCUGUUUCGUCCAUCGCCGUCGGAGAAGAUGGCAAUGACGUUGAGGAGAAAGAAACAGUAAGAAAGUUGAAGAUAAAGAGUGAUCAGAUGGUAGUUUUCCAAAAAAAAUAAAUAAAUAAAUAAAGAGUGAUAAGAAAGUAUGGAUUCAAAGAGGAUCUUGUUUCUAGAUUAUAAGGAAAAUUAAUGAAAAUGGUUUAAAAAAUUUUAGUUUUAACGAUAAAGACCAAAUAAAAAGUAAAGUGAAUAGUAUCAAAAUUGACUUUUUAGUGUAAAAAUAUGAUUUUUCGUUAAAAUGAACAAUACUGAAAGUUUUCUGGAUUAUACGAUGGAAGAUAGAUGGCACAAGGGCCCACACGCCCAUCCCAACCCCUUUUCCCCCACAGGAAAAGCAUGCUCGCUGAAUUCUUUUUUCUGGGGAUCCGAGAAUCUCGUAAUUGUGUCAAUUCAUCGUAUAUCGUACGAUCAAAAUUGAUUUUAAAUUUUAAAUUUUAAAAUUCAAAUAUAAAUAGUACUUAAUAAAAACUGCUCGCAUGAUAUACGAUAAACGGACACAAUCACGAAAUACUCCGGACCCCGAGGAAAAUGACGAGAUACGUCCGCCCCGUCCUUUUCCUCUCCCACUUGGAAUCUACGUCCACCACGUUUGAACCGCGUGGCGGCCAAUCACAGCCGUCGAUCACACCGUGUUUGACAUUCUGAUAACAAGUCACCAUCGAUUGGACCUAGUGAGGUGGUGAGAUCAGCCCACCGGUUGUGCGAUCAAUUAGAAUUAGCAUUAGUUUACUCAUUAAUCAUUACUAUUAGUGCUGCGAGAGAAACAGCUGCGCUAUUUCUAAACCGUGGACCUGAAAGUGACCUUCGUAUUUCCCCAUGAACCUCCUCUUUAUUGGCUUAAGGACCAUAUUUAUAACGUGGACAUAAAAAUUAAAUACAAAUAUUAAAGAGCAUAUUCCAUCGUAUCAUCAAUUUAAGGCAUGUAUACUUCGGAUCCGGAUGAGAAAUAAUAAGUAUGGGAUAAACAUUUCUUUGAUUAUCUUAUACUUUCAUUUUGCAAGUAUGUCGUAUCAAAACUAAUGGGACUCAUCCACUUUUUUUUUCGAUUGUUAAUAAGCGCAUGAUAAUAAUUUCUUGCAAAUUCAUUUUUUGUAAGUAUGCUUUUAAUAGUCUUCUCUUAUCGGUGAAAGUUCUCGUUACGCUCCUGAGAAAAGCACUUAAUGCCUUGGAUUUAGGCUAAUUUAAUGCAAUUCAUACAAGAGCGUUGCUGGAAAACUAUACAAACGUCAAUUUCCGUAUACUGUAAACCAUAGGAGAAUGAAUGAAAUGGUGGAUUGUCUCAUAUCCCAACGUUCCAAAUACGUAAUUGAAGACAUUUCAUCACCAUGACUUGGGGAUAUAUUAGGAGUUUCAUUCUCAAAGAACUUAAUAAUCUAAACAGUUUGUUCUCUUGAGAAUAGACUUGGUGGUUAUGAGAACUUAUGUACUCGAGAUCCUAACAAAUAGUUUGUGUAUAAAAAAAGUGAAAGAUUAUUAGCAUUCUAAAAAUCUCAUUUUAUACUUCUCACCAAUUCUCAAAAUAAUCCAUGAAUAACUUAUACAAAUGCUUGAUGCUUUUUUAAGAAGAAUGAGCAUAAAACCCUUGGUUAUAAUUGUGGGAGCAAAUUCCGUCACACAAUGAAUUGAUGAAAAUUCACACAUAAAGAAAAUAUCUAAACACCAAUGUUAGUCAAAGGGCCUCCAAUACCCAAGUUAGAGAGAUUGUAUGAAAUAACAAGAGUGUGGUGAGAGUUCUUGAUUAUCAUAAUAAAGUGGUUGACCUUGGUUAUUUACAAAUAAUUGAAUAGUUAAUCCUAGCGUCUAGGUUAGUUGAACCUAUAAGCAGAGCAUUACAAAGUUAUCCAACUCUAAGGGAGAGAUGGAUAAGCUUAGUCUCACAACAGGUUAGAAAAAAUAUGAUUCAAAUUCGCUUUUGGCAAGAACCGAACUUAAAAUCUCUUACUUACAAGUAAAAAAAAAUAUCAAUAAGGCGUAAUACUAAGCCACGAAACUAAUAAAGAUUUAACAAGCAAUGUUGAGUACAAAUUAGGACUCAUACCGGUACACGGUUACAAGGAGACACGCCGACACGUGUGCGUCACACGUGUACGCCGGACGAGGACCGAGACCGACUUCUUUCUUUCUGAGAAAACGAAAGGGGUCAGAUAUGGCGGCUUGGCCUCCUAGCAGCUGGACGCGUGAAAUUACCCACCGGGGGUUUCUAUAAUUUCCCCCUUUUCCCAUUUUGCCCUUCCACUUGCAUUCUUCUAGGAUCCAUCAUUUUAAAUAAUUUAAAUUGGGUCCUCUUUUACCCAUACACCAACAUGAACCAACAUGCACCAACAAAAACAAUAUACUAUUUGCUUCUUUCUUUUUUAGUGGAUGACAGAAAAUAUCCCUCUCUCACCAACAAAAACAAUUUAUAAUUUUUAUUUUUUGAGAAACUUCGUGUUUAACGGUCAAGCCAUCACAUAAUUUUAUUAGUUUAUAUGUUAUUAAAAUACGAUGAAAUAGAUAUAUCUGUAGACAUUGAAAUUUCGGUAAAUAAAUGUUGACCGAUAAAUCAAAGUGUCAACGCUCAUGUAUUACAUAAAUUUUACACAUAGCGUGUGACUCAACGAAAAUUGAAAUGAGUUGGAAAAAUCAUCAAAUAGGACACGUGUCAACACCUGGCAUAAACGACUUAUUUCAUCUGGGAUAUUAUAUUCAAAAUUAGGCCUUGAAAAAUUCUAUAAAUACAAGCCCAUUUCAUUCAUUUGAGGGGGGGAACCAAUUCAUAUUACACCUUGAAGCUCUGAAGCUCUGAAACUCCGAAGCUCUCAAGCAUCCAGGUUCCCGAAUAAUCAAGAAAGCCUUCUUCGUUCUUCCGUUUAUCGUUCUUCCAAGAUCAAGCCCCAACGCCCUUUGGAUCAACAAUCAUCCACCAAUUCAAGAUCAAGCCCCGACGGCCUUGAAGAAAGUGUUCUUCGUUCUUCGUUCAAAAGAUCAAGCCCAAAGGCCCUAAAGAACUUCCACCGAUUCAAGAUCAAAGCCCCGACGGCCCUUGAAGAAAGCCCAUCGUUCAUCAUCCCGUUCAUCCAAGAUCAGCCCCAACGGCCCUUUGGAUCAACAACGUCGACAAAAUCCACACAUCCACGUUCUUCAAGAUAAGCCCAAAAGCCCUUGAAGAUCCGUUCAUCACUGUCUUUAAGAUCAAGCCCAAAAGCCCUUGAAGACCCGUUCAUCACCGUUAUUCAAGAUCAAGCCUUAACGGCCCUUGAAGAAACACUCAUCCUUAACAUCAAGCCCCAACGGCUCCUUGAAGAUCCGCUCAAAUCCACCUUCAAAGAUCAAGCCCACGGCCCCUUGAAGAAACUUCCAACAGUUUAUCCAAGAUCAAGCCUCAACGACCCUUGGAUCAAUCGCACAUCCACAAAUCAACACCUUACGGAUAUGGAAUCAGAUGAUCAAAUUAGAGAGAGAUUGUAACCCAAAAUCCAUUAAUACAAAUAUUUGUUUGUGCACGUGUUCUUGUCUCUUUCGUUUCAGGAAUUUUCCGUGUUCACAAUAUCAUUUGGUAUUAAUUUUCAAUUAAAUAAUAUGCUAUGUGAUUGUGAAACAGUCAUAUUGAAAAACUACUUUUGAUUUUAAAAUUUCAUUUUGAAUUUUUUUGUCACAUUGAUACCUUAUUCAUGGGACAAUAAUAUAAUCGACAUUUUUUACCCUUUGCAAACGCAUAACAUCUCUUGCGGUAGCUGAAAGCUGUAUAUGCUCGCCUCUAGGCUCGUUCAUUGCCUCGUAAAACCUCGCUUAGUGCCGCAAGGGUGUAAGCAUAGUUGGUGGUGGAGAGCUUGACAACAUGUACCUCUCAUUUUAAGCUUAUAUUCGUGAUGCUUUUGUGAGAAAAAAACCUUUUAAAAAGGUGAAGAGAAAGAAAAGAAAGAUGAAAUGCUUUGUAGGGUGAAGAUGUGAGUGACCUUAAAUUGGCAAGGCAUCCAUGACCAUGAGAUGAGAGGCAGAUUUUGUUCAAAUGUAGGAAAAUUUAAAGUUAAAGAGGAAGCAAUAUAUUGCUUUUGAAGCAUUCUUUUUAUAUAAUAGCUUUUUAUAGCAAAUCAUGAUAAUUUAAAAUCCUCCUUCGGUUUUAUAUCAUCAUAAUCACAAGAAGUUUUUUGCAUGCGGGAGUGUUACUAUUUGAACCAUUCAUCUUAAUGGUUCGAUAGGAUAUUACAAGGAGAGGGUCCAAAUAUAUACAUUGAGCCGAGAAUGAAUCUUAACUUUCAAUUUUUUUUUUUGCUUUCUAAUGUUUAUAUUUUUGUAAAAGUAACAAUUUGGCCUUACAUAUAGAGAUUUAAUAAAUUUUUACAAUGGUUAAAUUUUACAUAAUACAUGUAUCACUCAAUUUGUAGCCGGACCGUUAAGCUUUCUUAUACUCCUUGUAUCAUUGAUGAAAAAUUACUGGAGCAAAUUAAAAACUAUAAAUCAAAACAUAACAAAUCCAUCUACGAUAUUUUGAGCUUCUAUCGAUUUUGAGCUACUAGAUUGUCAUAACUACUCACUUUAGUCCCUGAAAUUUAAAAUAUCACUGAGAUUGUCAAUUGUUAAUCAUUUUGAUCAGUCCGUAAAAAAUCUUCGCUAAAUAGAAAAAACUACAAAUUCAAGUGAAGGGGUUGUUUGUGAGAAGAAUAUCCAUAUUUUAACGAAAAUUUUCAUAUAAAAUCAAAAUAAUUGUCAAUAAACAAUCUAAGAACUAUUAUUUUAAAUCGUAAUAAUAGAAUUCCAUAAAACUAGAGAAAUUAGAACAUGGGCAACCAAUAGAAUCAAUCGGACGGCCGCAUGUUGUAAUACGCUGCAUGUGGGUAAAAAAUAGGGUCCCACCGUACCUUAAAAUAAGCUUUGUCAGGAUAUUUACCUUUUCUCAAUAAUGACGAUUAUCCACGUCAAAACAACCAACCAAUUUUAAUGCGAUCGUAAUACGUGUGGUACACUCAGUAUCAUUAUAUAAAUGAUGAGAUAUGUGUGUUAAAAAAUUAACAACUUAAAAAAUAUAAUUUUUCAUCAUUUAAAUAAAAACACGUAAUUUACUAUUCGUGUUCCGAUUACAAUACAGCAAUACCACACCCAAGAACCCAAAAAAAAUCAAUUAUUCCUUCUUUUUAUUUAAUUUUUUAAGCAAAAAGGUAAUAGUAAAAGAAAAGUAGGAAGGGCAUUUCGGUAAAACCGAAAGGCAAAAAUGGAUACGCGUCUCUAUGUGGUCCAUAUUUUCUCGCCAGUACCCGAACUUUCACUCCCUCAUAUUAUCCCCCUUCCCCAUUUCUGUCUCCUCCAUCGCCCAACCAAACCUCUCCUCUCCUCUCCUCUCUCUCUAAAAACCACAACUUUUUUCUUCCUCUCUCUCUGUCUCUCUAGAAAACCACAACCUCCAAUUUUCUUCCUUUCCAUCCAUCUAUAUCUCUGAAAAAAACAGAAAAAAAAAAAGAGAGAAGACGAGAGAGAUCCAUCUCUCGAUUGUUCAAAAUUUGAAUGAAAAAAAUGGCACAGAGAACGGAGAAGGAAGAGACGGAGUUCAAGGUCCCCGAAACGCUAACGCACUGCGUCAACAACUGCGGCGUCACCGGCAAUCCCUCCACCAACAACAUGUGCCAGAAGUGCUUCAACGCCGCAUCGGCCGCCGCCGCCGCCGCCACUUCAUCGUCGUCGUCAGCGGCGAUUCUGAAGUUUUCAGCCGAGAAAAGUCCGAGAUCUAGCUCAUCUUUCAGCUUCGAGGCUGCUGCCGAGACCUGCCGUAAGACGACGGCAUCAGAGAUCGCGAGAUCGGACGAAACGCCGAAUCGGCGCGUGGUUAAUCGGUGCUCCGGUUGUCGGAGGAAGGUCGGGUUGACCGGAUUCAGGUGCCGGUGCGGCGAGCUUUUCUGCUCCGAACACCGGUACUCCGAUCGCCACGUGUGCAGCUACGACUAUAAGGCUGCCGGUCGCGAGGCCAUCGCGAGAGAAAACCCCGUGGUCAAGGCCGCAAAGAUCGUCCGGGUUUGAUGAUUUAUAUAUCGAUUGACUUUGUAGAAAUGAAGCAACGCAAAAAGUGACGCGAAAAUUUGAAGAGGAAUUUGUGGCUCGAUCGGUUCUCAUGGCGCGUCUUUCUCUCGGAGACCAAAACGAAAUUCAGAGGCCGGGGAGAGAUCGCUUCGUUUAUCAAAUUCUCUCUGAUAAUUAUUUUUUUUUUUAAUUUUAAUUUUUCGUGUUCUUAUUUUUACUUUCUCUUGGAUUGGAAAUGAUAAAAUUAUUGUGAUGAUUUAAGGUAUUCGGCGUGUUUGUCGGUGUUCAUCUUUUUUCUUUUGGGGUAGUUUUAAUGUAUUUUAUUGUUUUUUCUUUUCUUCAAACUGUGAGCGGCAGUUGAAUUGACAUUCCAGGAAGUGACAGGGUGUUUUUCGUCAUUUCGCGUAUUUACAACUUGAAAUACAGUUGGUGAUGGUUGGGAAACAUCGGGCCCAAGGUAUGGAGACGAGAUGGGGGCUUUACAAUUAUUUAUUUAUCGCGAUAAAUUCGAUUGGCAUAGCCGCAUAGGCGAGUUGGAAAGAGAGCCUAUGGGAAGGGGUGAAGGGGGAACAUUUGCGUAUGAUAAUUGGUCGCUGUUUUCAAUGAAAAAGGUAGGAUAUGUGGCGGGGAUCUCGAGGGUGUGAGGAGAUCAACGGCUGAGGUUGUGUGUUGGUGGGUGAUUAGAAUAGAAUAGACGACGUCGAUGAGUGCGCGAGUGUAUAUAUGACCUGUAUUGUGCGGUGGGCCAUAGUGGGGUGCCGGGACUACUUGGACGUGUGGGGCCCCGCGUUUUGUGACCUUUGAGUGACAUGAAAAGCUGUCAGACACAUGGCUGUGGCUUAACUUGACACUAACCAUUGACUGACACAUGUGAAAUUUACAACAAUAAAAUUUAAAAAAGUAAAGCUUAUAACCAUGUCUCAAUUAAAAAAAAACUAAUGAAAAAUAUCUACAAAUUUUGAGCUGCAACGAAAAAGACAAAAUAAAGUGUAAAGUAAAUAGUAUCAGCGUUUAUUUUUUAAUGUAAAAAUGUGAUUUUUUGUUAA